Molecule: long non-coding RNA, 56697 nt
Filed under: Lynx pardinus (Iberian lynx)
Lineage: Eukaryota; Metazoa; Chordata; Mammalia; Carnivora; Felidae
Rfam family: tRNA (bases 52949-53033)
Source: RNAcentral
AGCACUGCUCUGAGUUUAGGCAUUCCAUCCAACAUCACUAGAUUGCAGAUUCUCUCAGAUGGAAGAGUAGAAAAAUAAUGAAAGUUGCCCCUGACUCAAAAUCUUCCUUGAAAAAUGAUGGCAAGAAAACGGACUCGUUUGGUAAGUAGAAAUGAGAGAUUAUUAUUUCCAUUACCUGCAAGAUAUGAUGUGUCUUCCAAAAAUGAGAGCAUGACUAAUUUAACUAGAAAAUGUUGCAGGCAGCCUAUAUCAAUUCUCCACUACCCCAAUUCAAGGCCGAGUCAAUAUGUCUUUACUUCAAAAACAAGCACAGAAAGGGGGGAGAAGGCACUAUUUAUUUGGGUGUGUAGACAAAAGGACAAAGAGAAACUGCCCCUCCCCUAAUCUCCUAAUACUGGCCCUUAAAUGAAAGAGUUUCGUGACCUGAAAGUUACUCGUCAGGACGGAUGUAACUGAAAACGCAUGGGAAGUUACAGUCAUUCAUUCUCUCCUCUUGAGCUAGUACCUGACCAGGGAGACAUAUUAAGUCACUUGGCUUGUUCUUCGUGGAGAAGUUUUAGUGUCUAAUUGGAUCACAAACAGAAUGUGAGCAAGUCCAUUAUGCAAGAAAGAAGCCCCACCUUCUGGCCACCCGUGUAAGUCUUACAGUGCACCUCCCCACCAUAUCCCCUGCCACACUCCCAACCCCUGUGCAUCGGGGCAAAAGUAGCUCUCCACUGGGCUUUAUUUCCUAAAGCAGGAAGCUUUCCUGUGUACUUGGGAAGAAAAUAUUUGGCAAUAAUGGAAAUCAAAAUAUUUCUCUAGACAGUUCAGCAUUAUCUGUAAACCCUCAUGCCCUUUCAAACCAAAGCAUACUUGUUUAGUAACAACAAGUUAUUCCCUUUCUCUGCUUCCCUUUUUCAUUGGUGGGGAGAAAACAUAACAGUAUUCUAUCCUGGAAAACUCCAUAUACAGUCUGACAAUUGCUUUAUCUUUUCCUUCUCAGCUCAUAAGCUUAGAUCAUUAACAGAAUUUUUCUGUUUGUCGAUACCAUUUGCAAAUACGUCAUGAUUCCUUUCAGUGACAUUAUUAAUCAAUUUAUAAUUCAAGCUAUAGCUUCAUUGUGUCCAAUGUAUUUUGCGUUUGUAAUAUAACACUGUGUAAAGUAUCUCUUAAGUCUACUAGGUUCUAUUUGUGUCUGAGACCACGUUUUGACCAUCGUAUUUAUUUCUUAUUGAUAUUACCUCACUAAUGUAAGCAAUGAGGUAUAAUAACCAGCAUGCUUUCCAUUGGACCCCAUGUAGGUUCUCAGCACUAAAAUAAGAAAGCUAAACUGGCAUAAAGCUAUGUAAGAGAUUCUCCUUUAAUUUACAUCUGAGUUUUGUGACCAACGUACAUAAAUAAAGCAUGCUACAAUGAGAACGACCACUACCCACAAUAGUUGGUAAUUAAGAGUAAGGGAGAGGUGAAGUGGGGUGAAUUUCAGAAUAAAAUGUGUUCAAGGAGCGUGGCGAUGGGUGGGGAAUACGUACGUGGGAGAUGUCAUCGAUCACUAAUAUGCUGCCCAGUGGGGACAAAUCAAGGACACGAUACUUUCCAAGUCCCACUAGUGUGUUAGAGACUUCUCAGUUUAAUUGAGUAUGAAUAUGCCUUUUCGUGCCCUCGAUUUCCAUCUUAUUUUUUUUUUUAAGUAGGCUCCACGCUCAGUGUGGAGCCCAACCCCAGUCUUGAACUCACAGCCCUGAGAUGUAGACCUUGAGCUGAGAUCAAGAGCUGGAUGCUUAACUGACAGCCACCCAGGCGCCCCUGUGCCCUUGAUUUCUUAACGAAAAUUGAAUGCCACAUUCUUCUAAUUGUUGCUUCUUGGGAACGUUACUGCUAACUACUUUUUCCACCCAAGAACUGAUAGUUAAAACAAUACGUGUUGCGAGAACUGUCAGAAAUCCGGACCAGCAUUGUUCCCGGUCACUCUUCAUUUCCUCCCUCCUCUUAUCUCUUCUCUGACAUUCACCUUUCACUGCCAUGUUGGAGUCAAUCAUGAAGAGACCGUAUUUUAUGCUUUAUUGUGAUGUGUUAGGCCUAUUUCUGAAAAUGAAAUAACUCCGUGAAAGAGAAAAACUCACAACCCAAACAAGACAGAUAUCCAAAAUAAGUAAGAUGAGUAAGUGACAAAAAACAGUGGGCUGGUUUUAGGCAUUUUCUUUUGCGCUCUUGUCCUGAGAGGAAAACUUAAUUCACUUUUAUGUGUCUCAUUUGUCCGUUUGUAAAAAUCUUGUAGUAUUUGUGUGUGUUUCUGUUUUAUAAAAGUCAUAAUAAGCAGAAUUAUGUAACAAGUAUUUGCUAUUUGUAGUGCAAACAGUUGUGCUUAAACCUCAGAAACAUCUGGUAAGGCAGGAGUACCUAUUCUCCCAUUAAAGAAAUGAGAUCAUGAUUCUGCCAGGGUCACUUCUGAUUAUACAUCCUGGGUUGUCUUUCUACACUAUUCUGCUUCUAAGGAGUGGUUAUUAAUAACCAAAUUGGGUUUUUUUUAAUGUUUGUUUCCUUAUUUUUGAGAAUGAGCGAGCCCAUCACAGGAUGGGCAGGGACAAAGAGAGAGAGGGAGAGAGAGAUUCCCAAGCAGGCUCUGUGCUGUCAGUGCAGAGCCCAAUGCAGGGCUCGAUCCCACAAACUGUGGGAUCAUGACCUGAGCCGAGAUCAAGAGUCAGCCACUUAACCUACUGAGCCACCCAGGCACCCUCAUCACCAAGUUUCUUGAUGCUACUGAGGGACCAGGGACUACUUUCUAGCCCAGUAGACUAUGGGAAAAUUCAUGGCAUCUGAAUUUUGGCAUCUGAGGUAAUGAGAAGGGGUUAGUAGAUGUCUUAGUUCUGGCUGCUAUAGUAAGACAUAGCGUGCUAAUACCAUAGACUUGAGGUGGGGCGGCGCUUAAACAACAGAAAUUUGUUUUCCCACAGUUCUGGAGACUAGAAAGCCCAAGAUCAAGGUCCCUCAGGGUUCACUUCCUAGUGAGAGCUCUCUUUCCAACUUGCAGAUGGCUGCCUUCUCCCUGUGUCCUCACACAGUGGAGAGACAGGGAGGUGAACAAAGGGAGGGAGGGAGAGAUAAAGGGAGAGAGAGCGAGCCCUGCCCCCUCUUCCUCUUCUUAUGAAACACUAAUCUCAACAUGUGGGUCCCCCACCUCAUGACCUCAUUUAAACCUAACUAUGCCUCAAAGGCCCCACCUCCAAAUGCUUGGGGCUAGCGCUUCAAUGUUUGUAUUUUGGAGAGACGCCAACGUUUAGUCCGUAACAUAGAUUUAAGGCAAAUGUGUCUGCAUGCUGAAUUUACAGAACUCAGUGACUACUAGAAGUAUAGAAUUAUAAGGUGAACUCACAUCACCUGGCAAAUUUUUCUCUUUACAGAAGCUAAAUGGGAAAAAAUUAAGCGACCUGCCCAACCAUGGUCAAUUUAUCAUUUGCAUUUGGUUCUCUCCCAUUUUCCUGCUACAACUCAUAGCUAUCUCAUACCUACAUCCUUCCUCCCUCCCUAUUAAAUCCCUCAGUUUCCAGCAACCUGACUUACGCCUUCACUGGAUUGCCUGCUGAGCCAAACCCAUUCUUCAGAAAAGAACCAGUGAGACACUGAUUUCCCCAGAAUCCGUUCCCUGAACCCCCAGACUAGUAGAACCAAGACUGCAUUCGCAGUCUGGCCACUCCUGGAGGGAAGAUGACCUCAAAGUCCCUAAGGCAGAUACUGAAAAUUCCAUCCCCACCCCCACCCCGGGGAUCCCUGAGAAGUCCAGGAGCACUUAAGUUCUAGUCAGCUCCAGAAUCGAGUUCUUGGAGCCACUAUGUUAGCUCAGCUUAGGGAAUGUCUUGCUGAGCUGUGUUGCUCAGAACUGUGUUAGCUCACGUGGCAUUGAGAUUUCUUCCUCCGUAUCCAUUAAACGCCAUCUCACUCGACAUUCAUGUGAGUGGGAGUUUGGGAAGACAGAUGGAUUUUUUUUGGUACCUUUGACGACAGCUUAAUACCAGCUGUUGGAGGACCACCUGUGGAGGCUACAGCCACUGCUGGAUGGCAGUACCUCAUGGUAAUAAGGCCUUCUGUCUUCUUCCUUUGCUCCUUUCUCCCAGCCACCAGCUCGGCUACCAAGAGUACCUAGUCGCUUCCUGCACUGGAAAGUUCGACUGUCUUUUCUGUUUGCUCGGCUUCUGCUAAGUCAUUUCCUCUUCCCACACCAUCACUCACCUUCCACGUAAAGGCCGUUCUCUCCCUAAGAGCAACUCUGGUGCCUGCGGUAAAGAAAUAAAUGCCCUACCCCAUUUCGCCAGGUGAAAUCAUGGGCUUAACAACAACUAGACCCUCUGAGCCCAGUCACAGCAUUUCUGGCAUCUCUGCUUUGUUUAAUAAGGUCUUCACUUUUUCACACAUCUAAAAGCCAUCCCAACAGAGUGUUAAUAGUCCUCUGGGGCCCUCACCAGGGUGCUGUUGACUGUGUUACCAAACAGCAUCCCAAUGUUGACAACCUCUCCCUUACCUAGAUUUGUCUUCUGACGCUUUGAUUCAACACCCCCGGGAUCCACUCCCAGGCAGACACUUCUGGAUCCUGCUGGUAUAUGUUAGCACACACGGUUGCUCUUUCGGCAAAGAAUCCCUUUCCUCCUCCACCAGGUCCCGCACAUUCACAGUCAGGAUACACUGAGACUUGACGCUAGAUAUUGACUGGUGUCCAAGAGGAGAGCUGGGAGCAGAUCUUCUGUUUUUAAAGUGCUUGCCCCGUUUGAGGCUUUUGCAGUCUUCAAAUAAAGAGGAGCCAGGCGGGGGUCCAUCUCACAACAAGAGGUCACGGGCAAGAAAGUUCAGGAAACUCUAGCCGGACUCCCCAUCUCAAGUUUCAGAUCUCCAUCCCUUCCCUAUCAGCACCUUGACCGUGGUGUAGGCAACCAAGGUCAGCUGAGAAUUAAGCGUUCCCCGAUGGUUGUCAUUCACAAUUCAGUCCUGUGCCUGACCUGGAGCUUUCUCUGCCCUGUGGCUGAAGAUAGUGGAGGCUAGGGCUUGGGCGUGGUGGUAGGGAUCUCUAAAUAUGCACAAAAUCUCUCUGAUUCUCAGACUUCCCUUUAAAAAUUGCAGUUCCCCCGAGCCUGCCAUUUUCUUUCUUCGUGCAUCAUUGGCGUCCAGACAGCAACAGCUGUGGCUAUGCAACUCCGCCAUCUUUGUAUGUUUUAUUUCCCCCCAGACCUUUCGAACGCCAGACAUACUCCACCGCGGUGCAUCUCUUCGGCUCGGGUGCCACUGCAGUGGACACGUGCCUUAGCAGUGACACCAUGAUGGGGAGUGCCGGUGCCUCUGCUACCAGCAAGGAUGGGUCCUCGGUGCCAGCCAAGAUCUGAUCCAACUCUAGUGUCCCACGCUAACACUGUUGGCUGUUGCCUCAGGUAAAACCCAAACUUAGCCUGAACCCUGUGGGGAUGGGUGCCUAGAACAACAGAUCGCCCCGUAGAGUUGUCCCAUCUUUGAGGCAGGGGUGUCAGGGUUUGUACCCCGCUGUCCGUCACACCCCAAUUCCGGCAAUAUCGAAUCUAGAACAGUGUGAAUCGUCUGUCCCUUGAAGAUGUUGCUUCUUCCUGGGUCUUUGAUCUUGGGCAAAUCACUUACCUCUUCUAAACCUCAGAUAGCUUCUCUGAAAAUGGGGAGAUGAAUUUCUAUUUCAGAAGAUUAUUGGGAGAACUAAAGGAAACAAAUAGAUGUGAAGUCUUUGUGUGGCACGCUUAGAUCAGUGCUGUAAGGAGCACUGUAAAUGUCCGUUCCCAAUCCUCUCCCGCAGUCCCAACAUUUAACUACCCUUUGAUUUGCAGCAGGUUCACCUUUCUGAACAUGGAUGAACUAUGUCAAUUCUCCCUUCCCGCAAAUCUCACAAGACUCCUGUAGCAUCAGAAACAUACUCACACGAGUAUUCUUUUUAAUGGUGGCAAAAGGCACACGACAUAGAAUUUAGCAUUUUAUUUUCGAGAGUUCAGUCUUGUUAAGGGUAUUCACAUUGUUGGGCAACCGAUCUCUAGGACUUUUUCACCUCAUAAACCUGAAACUCUAUUAAAAACCACCUUUCCAUUCCCAGUCUCCCCAGCCCCUGGCAACCAACUUUCUACUAUCUCUGUGAAUCUGACUGCUUUGGAUACCUCAUGUAAGUGGAAUCAUACAGUAUCUGCCUUCUUGUAAUUGGCUUAUUUCAUUGGGCAUAAUGUCCUUAAGGUUCAUCCAUGUUGUGGCAUGUGUCGGAAUUUCCUUCCCUUUUAAGGCUGAAUGAUAAAUAUUCUAGCCUUUGUAUACACCACAUUUUGUGUUUCCAUUUACCCACCAGUGUACCUACACUUGGAUUGCUACCACUUUUUGGCUACUGUGAAUAGUGAUACUGUAAACAUGGCUGUACAAAUAUCUCUUCAAGUACAUGCAUUCAGUGCAAUUGAUGGAUUGUCCGGUAGUUUUAUUUUUAAUCUUUUGAGGAACUUCCAUACUAUUUUCCAUAGUGGCCGCACCAUUUUGCAAUCUCAUCAGCGGGACACAGGGCUUCCAAUCUCUCCAUCUCCAUAUUCUUGCAAACACUCGCUGUGAGAUCGUGGUUUCGUUUUUGUUUUUAUAUUAGCCAUCCUGGUGUGUGUGGAAAAUACUUUUAAACCUAGUUAAUAUCAUUAACAUUUAACACUUUGUUAGUCUCUGUAAUGUUUAAUUUUAUGUGUCAAUUUGACUGGCCUAAGGGAUGCCCAGAGAGCGAUAACACAUUAUUUUUGCGUGUGUCUGUGAAGGGCAUGGUCACAAGAGAUGAGCAUUUGAUUUGGUAGACAGAAUAAAGAAGAUCAACCUCACCGAUGCAGGUAGGCAUAAUCCAAUCUGUUGGGGGCCUGAAUAGAACAAAAAGUCAGAGGAAGGGCAGAUUUGCUCUCUGCUGAGCUGAUACAUCCAUCAUCUCCUGCCCUCAGACAUAAGCAGUCCUGGUACCUGGGCCUUUGCACUUGGACUAGGACUUACACCAUUGGCUUUCCUAGUCUACCGCUUGCAGAGGGCAGAUUGGAAUGUCCCACGCUUCCAUAAUCACAUCAAUCGAUUCCUAUAAUAAAUAUAACAUAACAUAAAUGUGCAUAUGUCUGCAUUUCAUGUACAUGUAAAGAUAUCUCCUGUUGAUUCUGUUUCUCUAGAGAACCGUCACUAAUACAGUCUCUAUAACUUUUUGCUACCGACAGGCAAAUCUUCCCGGUUUGUAGGAGCUCAAAAAUCAUUAGCAUGCUCAUUUCAAAUUCCAAGUUUUCCUUGAAAGUUAAGGUUUCCAAAGCUUGACUCUUCUAUUAUUCUGUUGAUAUAAUGCUAUAUAAUAUGAAUAAAAACAAGAAAGAGAACUGUAACAUAUGAUCCGGUAUGCAAUAAUGAAAGUCCCUAAAUCUCUGAGUGCAAACAUAAAUGAUUCUUUAUUAUUUUUUAUUUAAAAAUUUUUUUACUGUUUAUUUAUUUUUGAGAGAGAGAGAGAGACAGAGUGUGAGCAGGGGAGGGGCAGAGAGAGAGGGAGACACAGAAUCCGAAGCAGGCUCCAGGCUCCGAGCUGUCAGCACAGAGCCCAAUGUGGGGCUCGAACCCACAAACUAUGAGAUCAUGACCUGAACCGAAGUCAGACACUUAACCAACUGAGCCACUCAGGUGCCCCAGUGAUUCUUUAAUUCUUAAUUUUAAAUCAAGGCUUUUUUUUUUUUUGCUUCAAUGCAUAGUCCAACUACAAUUCAUUAACUCUAGGAUGGAUCCUGUCUGAAGUCUCAUGGGCACAAUUUCUUACAUGUUUUGUUAGCAAUAAAUGAACGGAAUAAUUUUAACUUAUGUUCUCCAUUCCGUAUUUUAAAUGGAACAUUAUAGCAUAGAAAAAUAAACCAUUACAUCAUAAUACCUACAGAAAAAAAAAAAGUAGUGUUUUGUUAAGUGUUGACAGAUUUGUACCUGGAUACUCAGUCCUAUAUCUUAGGUGUCUUUUCCUAAAGUUAUAACCUUAAAAAAGAUCACAUUCCAAAAUAUGUAAAAUGAGAGCCGCAGAAAGAGAGGAAAGAGAGGAGGGGACAAAAAGAAUAUUUGAAGCAAUAAUGGUCAGAAUUUCCCAGUUUGAUGAAAAACAUCAAUCUACACAUCCAAGAAGCUCUAACUGCCAAGUAGGAUGGAAAGAACAGGGGUAAGGAGGAAUUAACUUUGUCAAGGAUUUCAUGUUUAACUUUGUAACUAUGUGAAUAAAUUUUCAAAUUUAAGAUUAUUUUUUCUAAUUGAUUCUUAUUUGUAAUUGAAUUACUUGGUUAUUUUUGUCUUUACUCUCUAUCUCACUCCAGGGGUGACAGCAUUGUAGGACAGGGAGAGUCGGUAGAAGCUUAGGUCAUUCUGCUGUCUAAAACCUAAUGCCAUGGUGGGGAAGGGUAUGGAAAGGAAUAUGAAAAACUGCCAUUGUCAAAACCCAUAUGUUAUUAAGAGCAUAAAAUCAAACUAAAUAAAAGCCUUAAUGUGCAUGCAAAUGGAAUAAAAAUCUGAGUGAAGUUCAGCCUAAGGUGGAACGCUUUAAAUAUUCUGUAAGUUCAUGGUCCAUGUCUCAUUUGCUUAGCAAUGUUCCCAUGAAGCUUAUAGUCAUGGCCUAGAAGUCUAAUAUUUUGUUAAAGUUUAGCAGAUCCUUUAUUAGGACAAUUUUAGGGGUAAUACAUUUAAAACAACAUGAAAUUAGGAAUUUUUGUAUUGCAAAACUGUUCUGAAAAGUGUUCGUAAAUCUUACACCUUGUAAAACACAAGCACAAAGCUAAAAGCCAUAAACUGCCUUGGAAAGUUGUGAUUGAAAAUGAGAUCAUUCAAAUCCAAAAUCGAUUUUCCUGAAUUACAAAGAAUAUUUACAGAAGCUGGAUGAUUAAUUUUUAGCAUUUGCUAAUUUAUCUUGACUUUUCUUUCACCAAAAAAUAAAAUAAAAUAACUGAAAGGUGUGGAGAAUAUGGUGGAAAAUAUUUUUGUUGGUUUUUUUACUUAAAAAACAUAACAUCCAAUUUAUUAAAAACUUAAAAGAAUAGUAUAAAGAUUCCUGUAUGCCUUUUGUUUGGUUUCCCAACUGUAAAUAGUUUAUACAUUUACUUUCUCAUUCUGUCUCUCUGUCUCUCUCUCACACACAUAUGUGUAAUUUUUUUCUGAACUAAUUGAAAAUAAAUUGCAAACGUGACUCUAGAUAUUUUUUGGUGUAUAUUUCCUAAAAUACAAAGACACUAUUCUAUAUAAUCACAGCACCACCAACUAUAUAAUGAAAUAAACACUGAUGUAGCAUGACUGUCUAAUCCACAGGACCCAUUCAGAUUUUGUCAAAUUUUACAAUAAUUCCAUUUGGAGAAAAGAAUUGUCUAGAGGUCCAAGAUCAAAUCCAGGAUGAUUCGUUGCAUUUAGCUGCCAACUCUCUAGACUCUUGCAAUUUAAACAGUUCUUCCACCUUUCUUUGACUUCCUUGAACCUGACAGCUUUUGGUGGGAACCUGACACAAUUUGGUGAUAAUUUGACAGUUAUUUUCCAUAAUACUGCUUAAUUUUGAUGAAUAUAAUGACAUACGUUUCUUUCUAAAAAUGAACAGCAGAAAGAAACUUCAAACUACUGUAAAAUAAUCAGCAUUCUCUCUACGCCCUAUAUCUCACCUCAGCGCUGCAGUUUAAAUAAGAAAAAGCACCCUUACAAGAAAGGGAAGAAAAAGAAGGGAGGUGAAAGAAAAUGAAAUCAAUAAGAAAAUCUUCAGAACGAGAGAAAUAACUUCUGCAACAUUUUAUUUAAGCCAUAAUAAUCUCUCAUAAGUAUUAAAUCCUAGAUCUAAUCCAGUAAAAAAAUAAUAAUAAUAAUAACCAGUAUCUAUGUAUAAAUAGGGCACUCUAGUAAAUAGUUCAAUGUAGGUAGGUACCUAAUGUCUCUUUCUACGCUUGAAAUUCUGGCUUCGUCUUUGUACUUUGCAUUGCCUGAAGCUUUUGCAGAACCAAACUAUGAAUGUCUCGCACCCAAUUCCUCCAUAGAAAAGUUUUCUCUUUAUUGGAACUCAUCUCUUUUACUUCAUUGUCUGAUUUUCAGCUGGUGUUUUGGCAGAUUGGUGUUGGGCAUCUGUUAUUUAAUGACUGCAUUGUCAUUCUGUUAUCAUUUAUGUUGUUACUUAUUUCUCAAUAAAUGUAAUUCAGUCAACAAGUAAACUUCUCUUCCAUAAAAACAAUGAGUAUUCAUAAUCAUAAAAAUUAUUUUCUGGAUGAAAUUUUCCGUUAUGUAUUUGCAACAUCAGACUAAAAAUUUUUUUUAAUUAUUUUUUAACAUUUUGAGAGACAGAAAAAGACAGAGCACAAGCAGGGGAGGGGGCAGAGAGGGAGGGAGACACGGAAUCCAAAGCGGGGCUCCAGGCUCUGAGCUGUCAGCACAGAGCCUGGUGCAGGGCUGAAACCCACAAACCAUAAGAUCAUGACCUGAGCCAAAGUGAGAUGCUUAACCAACUGAGCCACUCAGGCGCCCCCCAGACUACAAAUUUUUGAGAAGUAUAUACAUAAUACCUAGGAAUGCAUUUGCUGCGGUGACAUCAUCACAUUUCAUUCAUAGAAACAUUCACAUUUUAUUAUCUUUAAAAAUUAUACAGUGCUUUGAUCAACACGGCAAUGGCUGGUUAAGCUCUCAUUUCUUUCAUGAAUCCUGUGGUUUGUGAUCUAUUACUCACUGAUCCAGUUCCCCAAGAUUUUAUAAAAAAUCUUUACAGUAUUAGCUCUGGAUCGCAUAGAGUUUUUAUAAAUCAGAAUGAUAUUUUAACUUACCUAAAGGAUAUAGGUUAAUUCCUUGCAAUUUCCCUCGUAACUCCUAUGUAUUCUCCCUUUUUUUUCUGUACAGACUUAUCAUGCAGCUCCAUAGGCCCAAGAGAUGCAAUAAUGUAACAGACAUGAUCUUUUAAGGUAAUUUUAUCCAACAUUCUUAUUUGGAAGGCAUUUGAGAGGAGCACAGAGAAACCAAGUGCCCAGGUUUCCUGAUACCAGUUCUGCAGUCCUUGCUACACUACGCACCAAGGGACCUGCCGUCUUCAUAAAGUUGAUGUCUUCCGCAAAAACAAAACAACACAAAACAAGAAGCCGGCACAGAGUAUGUUCUGUGUAUCUAUGACAGAACACCGAAACACCCUCUAUUUGGGCAGGCUGACCUCCUCGUGGCGAAUACAGUUUGGGGAGGACGGAGAUAAUAGCCGAUUAGAACAGACCGCACAGCCAGAUCAGGCACAUACCCAGGCCAGCUGUCCAGGCCUUGCCGACAACCUUCUAUAGCCUCACCUCUAAAUAAACAUGUAACAAAUAUCUCAUGGAUAUCCAUUUGAAAGGUCAGCAAAUGAUUAGCCUGCCCAGAGGGCCCUCAUGUUUCUACCCAGCCCUGCGUGAUUUGAGACCAUUUCCUGCACCAGGGUGCCAAAAGAGAAAUGGGAUGCAGUUUCAACUAGCCAUUUGAGAAAUUCUAAUCAAACCUUCCAGAGGCUUUAACCAAAUAAACCAAUCCAAUGUGUAUUUUAAAAAUGGUCUGAGAAUGUAAAGGGCAAGGAAAGGGAAUGGGAGACAGAACAGAGUAGGGAUAUAAACAUAACAUAGAACAGCCGGAUAAGAAAUGGAAGUUUUAAUCAAGUAACUGCUGUUUUGUACAACUGGUUUGGUUAGCAUUUACUAACAGACGAGACUUGCCUUUGCUGGAUUGAUGUGAAUAGACUGUUUCCUUCUUGGUCGGGCAGACGUGAUAUGCAGAGGAAGCAAAGUCGUAAUUUACUUGUAAGAGGAGUUACAUCAGUAUCGUGAUGGCAAAAGAUGUCCCUCAUUUUUGUCGCCCCGACAGCAAAAGUUCAGCAUCCAUGGGCAAGGGUGUGUUUGCGGUAACUGUGGCAUCCAACACCACCUGCUAAGGGACCCAGGACAAGUCUCACCUAUCAAUUCAUCAGGCAAUAGGCAGACGGACCUUGGUCCUAGCUGUGGAUCUUGUAAUGGCACCUUAACUGGCUUCAGCCCCUCUUAGCUGUGGUCCAGAAGCUCCUGGAGAACACUGACUUAGGCAAUUGCCUGUGCACGAAAGAGCCUUUGGGGAAGUCCACGAUUACAGAGAAGAAGUGCCAGCACACUGCUGCAGCAAAAAACCAAUUUGGCUGCCUUCGAGAUGGCAGUAAAGACUGGAGGAGAUGACGCGAGGAUAGCCACGCAGAAGUUCAAGGAACAGGAACAAUCAAGGUCAUGUAACACUGCCAGAAGCUCGUAAUAAGCUUCCUGUAAGCAAACUGAACACAUGAGGAUCUGCAGUUUACCAGACAAAUAAAUCAAAAUAGCAGCUUUAAGGAAAUUCAGUAAGCUAUAAGAAAACAAAGCCAAAUUGGUACAGAAACUGUGACACAGAGUGGAGGUUCCUCAAAAAUUUUUAAUGUAGAACUACUAUAUGAUUCUUCAAUCCCAUUUCUGUGUAUGGAUCCAAAGGAAAUGGAAACAAGAUCUUGACAAAAUACCUUCACUUCCAUGUCAGUUCAGCACUAUGCACGGUAGCCAGGAUGUGGAACAACCUAAGUGUCCGUCAACAGACGAAUGGAUAAAGAAGAUGCGAUGUGUCGCAUUAUUACGUUGUGUUGUAAUGAAAUAUGUAACGAGAUAUUAUUCAGCCACAAGAAGGAAGGAAAUCCUGCCAUUUGCGACCAUAUGGAUGGACCUUGAGGGCAUGAAGCUAAAUAAGAUAAAUCAGAGAAAGACAAAGCCUGUAUGGUAUCACUUCUAUGUGGAACCUAAAACUACUGAACUCAUAGAAACAGAGAGUAGAAGGGUGGUUACCAGUGGCUGAGCAGUGGGGGAAAUGGAGAAAUGUUGGUCAAAGGGUACAGACUUCCAGCUAUAUGAUGAGUAAGUCUGAAGCUAAUAAUUCUGUAUUCUUCUCUAUUGAAAGUUGUUAAGAGAGAAAAUCUUGAAGAGUCUCACCUGCAAAAGGGAAAACUGGUAAUUAUAUGACAUGUUGGAGAUGUUGGCUGACACUGUGAUCGUAGCAAUCAUUUUGCAAAAUACAAGUUUAUCAAGUCAACACCUACAUCUUAAAGUUACACAAUGUCAUGUGUCAGUUGUAUCUCAGUGAAGCUAGAAAAUAAAUGAAUCGUGUAGCAAUUUCAGUUAACAUUGAUCGGUUACGUCAUAUUACUGAACAUCCUGCCAGAUCCUUUUGCGUGCAAUCUUACUGAAUUCUCAUAAUCACCUAAAGAAAUGUGAUUUCCGCUGUGUGUGCAGACCAUCAUCCUGGUUGCUACAGAAGUUAGGAGUUAGGAGUAGGAAAAGGGGAGAAAAUGAAAAAACAUCUACACGUGAACCCUCAUGUUUGUACUGGCUAUCUACUUAUUGGUGCAAAAUGAAUCCACUGAAAACUUAGUGACUUGAAAACAAUACUCCUUUGUCCUCUCUCACAGUGUCCACGCAUCAGGAAUGGGGCAGGACGUGUUGGACAUGCCUUUCCUCUGCAAUGCCUGCGGCCUCAGGUGGAACACUCAAAGUCUGGAGGCAGAAAUCACCAGAAGAUUUACUCACAUACAUCUAGUGGUUGAUUCUGGCCUUGGGUCACAGAUCUGGCCAGUCCCAGGCUUCCUUACAUCAUAGCUCUGGAUUCUGAGGUAAGCAUCAUGGAGGGCGUAGGAGAGGAGCUCGAACCUUUCUGUGACCCAGCCUAAGAAGUCACAUGGGAUCCCUUCAGUCAUACCCCACGGGGCCAGUUGAGAUAGUCACAAAUCUUGUCCUGUUUCCAGAGGAGGGACUAUAACCCCAGCAGCCCCAUCUCUGGGUGGGUCAGUCAUACUGUAAAAAGAGUCUUUGGGAUGGGAUAAAUACAUUGGAGCAGCCACCAAUGAGAAACAGAAUUCCCCACAACCUUAUACUUUGGUAAAGCCUUUAGGGUGAGCUCUGAAGUUAGCCAACACUAAGAAACAUGCCUCAUGCAGGACUCCAUGGGUGGUCAGAGAAGGGAAGCAUUAGAGAUGAUUUCAGACUAAGGAUUAAGGCGGGCUUUAUAGAGGAAGCAGUAUUUGAAUUCUAUCUGACUGGGAAGCAUUUUGAUUCGUUUAUUCAUUGUGUGCCUACUUGGUGUAUGGAUGGUAAUGUGCUAAGUGGAGAAUAUAAUGGAAAAUUCUACUCCCAAGGCACAAGGUUGAAGGUGAUCUCAAAAGAGGGCCUCAGGACUUCCUCAGUGGGGAACUAUUCGUUUGCACCCUUGCUUCUCUCCUCUCACCAUCAUAUUCCUUCUUGUGUUGCCGGAAGCUCGCAGAGGUGCAGAGAUCAUGAAUCAUACUUCCCCUGACUUCCCUUUAGUCUCUGCUCCAAUAGAGAGCAGGACCAUGGGAGACAUGGCACUGAAUAAUUUGGGGACCAAGCUGGAAAUUGCUUUGUAUUUAUUUUUUUAGUUUUUUUUUAAGUUUUAUUUAUUUAAGUAAUCUCUACACCCAACGUGGGGGCUCGAACUCACAACCCAGGGAUCAAGAGUCACAUGCUCUUCUGACUGAGCCAGCCAGCACCCCUGUUCAAUAUUUCUAAAGGAAAAAAUUCUACAAAACACUGAAUGGAAUGAAAUAAUCUAUUUGUAGACUAUUGAGUUGCCAGUGUUUAAAUCUUCAAAGAAACCAAAUUUCUUGUGAUGUGUGAACUCAACAAUUUAAAACACACAGAAGCAAAUAUUUUUAUAGUUUCUCUUUUCUGUUUUAUUUCAAUAUAUCCCAUUUCUUCUCUCUACCCAUGUGAUUCCACAUGGAAUAGAGAUCAAAGCUUUUACUUGUUGAUGAGGAAAUGCACAGAAAAAUCUAAACAUUUACAGUAAUUAACGGUUGGACCAGAGAAACUAGAAAUGUCAAAGCCAUGACUGCGACUUUUUAAAUCCCGUCAAUUAUUCUGUCCCUGAGCAAGUGAAACUUUCAGCAAUACUAGGGCAUUGUCUUUUUUUAAAUAGCUCCAAGUCUUGUAUUUUACUACAGAACAACUUCCUAAAGUAGGAUAUGCCCCAGAUUUAUACAAGAGCAGUUCAGUAAAAUAUUCACUGUUUUUAAACCCGUACACAUAUUUAAAAAAAAAAAAAACCAAAAACUGACUUUGGGAACUCACUGUAAAUUCCAAGCCUCUGUUCUGAUCAUGAAACAUUGACCAUGACUCAACUGUGAUUUCUUUCCUCAUAUAGAUGAGAUUUGCUUAUAGCUUUAGACUUAUCUUGAAAGUAGAUCAUCAAAUACCUUUACAGUUAAGAAUUUUGCAGAUUGUAUUUCUAAUAGAGGAUCAAGGCAUGGGUAUUUAAAAACCAGUGAUUUCAAAAGGCUAAGAAUUUCAUAGGGUAAGAACAUUAAUUUACUAGGUUGGAAAAUAUUUUUUUACCACAGAGAUGGAAUGAUCCUAAACUCUUGUUUCUCCCUUCUGAAGCUCUUUAGAAGUGGCUCAGAGAUAAAGUUCAAAUACAACGAACUUUAGAUAAACCAGCUCAUCAGGUUUAAGCGAAUUCAGAGGCCUUCCCACUGUGAGUAAAACCCUAGAUAGUCUGUUAUACUGUCAGAAGCAGCAUUCUGUGAUUCACAUCAAGCCUUAAAAGUACAGAAUGAUUACUAGGCGUGGUCUAAGCAGCUCAAGGCAGCCACAUACUUAUUCAUAUGGUGAAUACAAAUGGUGAAUUCAUUAGGUAAAACCACACUACCAAAGAAUAAGGAUCUAAAAAUAUGAGGGUAUGUUGUAAGAAUGUAUCAAAAUAAUAUAAGGAUCCACAAUAAAACUAGCUGAUAAGAACCCCAAAAUAUGAGAAGUGGGGAAGAACCACCACCAAUGAUAAGACCCACUUGGCAUCUGCACUCAUGUGGGAGGAAAUGGAAAGAGCAAAAUGGGGCAUCCGAGUACCCUGAGAAAAGGGGGAUCCAAAAUCACCAGCAGGUACUCUCUAAGCAUGAAAAGACUGUCAGAGGAGUCUACAAAUUUCGUUCAUGGAGGAGAGCAAGGGAGCCUGAGGAAAGGUCAGCAGGUGCCAAAAUGGUCUUGGUCCUUGGAAUUCACAAAACUUGUAAUCCUGAGCUCACUUCUAGAGCAGACCUCUCACUAAGGAGAAAUCGAUGACAAUCUAGGUUGCAGGACAUCAGGGCAAAGAAAAGAGAAAUCCGGAUAAACAUGGGGGGAAAGAGAGCAGAGGAAACAGAGCUCAGAGAAUAGGCCAUGUCUUAAUUAUUUCAUAGAAAGAACAGACCAAGGAGCUUUAGAGCUAUGAAGCUAGAAAUAUAUCCUGGCCCACCCCUGCCUUCUUAAAAGUACAGAAAAACUCCUAUCACUUAAAAAUGAGCGACAGAGGGGCGCCUGGGUGGCUCAGUUGGUUGAGCAGCUGACUCUUGAUUUCGGCUCGGUCAUGAUCUCAGGGUUGUGGGAUGGAGCCCUGUGUCAGACUCCAUGCUGACAGCUUAAGAUUUUUUCCUCUCUCUUGCUCUUUCUCCCCACCUCUGCGCCUCCCCCGCCCCCCCCCACCAUGCACGAUCUCUCUCUCUCUCUCUCUCUCUCAAAAAAAGAAAAAAAAAUGAGCAACAGGAAAGAAUCAUAGUCAAUUUCUAUACAAUGUUAUUAUUAUUACAAAGAAAGAAAAAAGUGAGGGAGGAAGCAAGGGAAGGAAGAAUAUCCUUACAAUCAAUGAAAGAAAAACAUGCCCAGAGAGCAAAUAAAACUGUUACCUAAUGUCUCAAUAUGAACUAAAAAAAAAUUAACAUAAUUGUAGAAAGUAUUAAAGAAUAGCAUAAAUCAGAAUUGGAAAAAUGUGGAAAUAAAGUGAUUGGAGAAAAGGAAUAUUUGAAGAAGUUGUCGGAACUCAAAAACCACAUUUAUUUAUUUAGUUACUUAUUUGAACAUUUUUUUCAAAAUAAAGAAAAAUCAUGCAAACUGGAAUAAACACAAUACAAAAUGCCCUAAAAGAGCGUUAUAAAAUUGAAAGAACAAAUAUUUUUAAAACCAAAAAUGUCAUUUUUGAAGGCAGAAGGGAAGACCCAAUAUACACAUAGGAGUCCCCAAAGAAAUAAGUAAUAGAUGAGAACAAAUAAAUCUGUAAUUUAAGCAAAUUUUCCUGAAUGAAAAAAGACUUGAGCCUAACCUGGAUACUUGAGAAUAUUGGCCCACAGCUGUCAAUACUGACAUGUAUUCCAGGAACCCACAGUCUUCAAAAGGAAAAAAAGAAAACCUUUGGGUAUUCAGCAAAAAUACCAAGUCAGUCAGUAAGAAAGUAAAGAAAAUCAGUUGCCGUCUCACUUUUCAGGAGCAACACCAUAGGCUAGAAGACAAUGGCAUGAUAUUUUAAAAUAUGCAAAAAGGAAAAUUCAAGCCAAGAAUUUUGUAUUCCACUAAAUGGAUCUUCAAGUUUAAGAACCAUGUACUGAUGGCUUUGAAUUCCAGGAAUAUGGUUUUGACAAAUUCUCCCUGUCAAUUUAUUACAUAAUUAGCUUCAGACUACCAAUAUGGAAGGGGAUACAUUGACGUAAUACUCAAUAAUGGUUGUGAGAUAGAAUAGUAUUUAGUAAUGCAGUCUGGUUAUGUUACAACCAUCGAAGCUUGAUGGAAGAAUGGCCAGAGUAUAUGACAGUAGAGUAACUUCAUUUCUAGGCAUUAAGUAGUAAAAGGACACUACAUCAAAUCAGAUGGUAUGGAGAUGAAGAGAAGAGAAAAUAUGAGGACACUGGCUAAUUUCAAUAUUGCUCCUAGUGGGGAAAAAAAUAGGCAAUAACCAAAAAAGAGAGCACUAAAUGUUUUAUAUAUAGUAUAAAGACAACCUUGAGAACAAAAAUAUAAACCUUUCUGGAGAACAUAUUCACUUACACAUUUAAAAGAAAAAAGAACACUUUCUUAAAGUUUAUUUAUUUAUUUUGAGAGAGAGCGAGAGAGCAGGGAAGGGCAGAGAGAGAGAGAGAGAGAGAAAGAGAAUCCCAAGCAGGCUCCCAGCUGUCAGCAUGGAGCCCGACGUGGGGCUCCAUCCCAACGACCAUGAGAUCAUGUCCUGAGCCAAAAUUAAGAGUCGGACAUUUAGGGGCGCCUGGGUGGCGCAGUCGGUUAAGCGUCCGACUUCAGCCAGGUCACGAUCUCGCAGUCCGGGAGUUCGAGCCCCGCGUCGGGCUCUGGGCUGAUGGCUCGGAGCCUGGAGCCUGUUUCUGAUGCUGUGUCUCCCUCUGUCUCUGCCCCUCCCCCGUUCAUGCUCUGUCUCUCUCUGUCCCAAAAAUAAAUAAAAAACGUUGAAAAAAAAUUUUUAAAAAGAGUCGGACAUUUAACCGACUGAGCCACCCAGGCGCCCCAGGAAGAACAUUUUAAUGGUUUCCAAAGAAUGAAGGAUGAAAUAGGGUAGAGGGAUCAUAAGUUAGUCCUUUUUUGAAGAUAUCUUGUUCUGUAGAUUUGACUUUGGAAACUUAUAAAUAUUUUAUACAAUCUUAAAGCAAAAUGAAAAUUCUAAAAAGCAGUUUCUGGAGUUCCAUUUCUGGGAUGAAAACAUACGCACCUCCAUGGACCCAACCCAAGCAAAGUUCAUGAAAAUUAUUCUUCUAACUUUUAAGUCUCUGGGAAUUUCCCAAGGGCAUACAGCAAAUGAAUCACGAUUUAGUCAAGAAAAUCUCCUGAAACUUAUAGGAAAAAUGACAGUGUGCACUUGAGCUAUAACCCACCCACUCCCAGCCCUCUGCCAGCUAAGUUUGACAGAAGCCCCACUCUGGGCGGAUGAGGCCGAGAAGACAGUUCUCCCUUCCUCCUCGACUCCUAAAGAAGGAUUGUAGUAUCUCACCAGGAGAGGCAGUCUGCCAGCAUUUCUCAUCCCCACCAACUGUAAGAUGAAAAAGCUAAAUUCCUGCUGAGAACAGCUGAGAGGUCAGGGCUCCCUUCCCCCACCUGGUCCCUCCUCCUCAGACAGACAGGCAGAGGCUGACUCCCAGUCACAGCAUGCCAGGAAUGCUCCGGGGCUCUGACCACCUUCACCCCAGCUGACUUGUAGGGCAGGGCGCUUCGGGUGGCGGGGUGGGGGGUGGAAUUCACAACUGCAAAGGCCUACAUAAAAACAAGAAAAAAGAUCUUAAAUCCGCAACCUAUCUUUCACCUUCUGUCCCUAGAAAAAGAAGAAAAAACAGCACAAAGCAAGCAGAAGAAAGGAAAUAAGGAUUAGUAGUGAAAUAAAUAAAACAGUGUAAGAACAAUAAGUCAGUGAAACCAAACGUUGGUUCUUUGAAGAGAUCAAAAAUAUUGGUGAAACUUUACCUAGAUUAAGAAAGAAGAGGGCGCCUGGGUGGCUCAGUCGGUUAAGCGUCCAACUUCGGCUCAGGUCAUGAUCUUAAAAUCUGUGAGUUCGAGCCCCGAGUCGGGCUCUGUGCCGACAGCUCAGAGCCUGGAGCCUGUUUCAGAUUCUGUGUCUCUCUCUCUCUGCCCCUCCCCUGUUCAUGCUCUGUCUCUCUCUGUCUCAAAAAUAAAUAAACGUUAAAAAAAAAAAAAGAAGAAAGAAAGAAGAAAAGAGAAGAUUCAGAUUAAUAAAAACAUAAAAGAAAGGGGCACCUGAGUGGCCCAGUCGGUUAAGUGACUGACUCUUGAUCUCGGCUCAGGUCAUGAUCUUACAGUUCGUGGGUUCAAGCCCCGCAUCUCUGUGCUGAUGGCGUGAGCCUGCUUAGGAUUCUGUCUCUCCUUCUCUCUGCCCCUCCCCUACUUGUGCUCUUCCUCCCUCUCAAAAUAAAUAAAUAAACUUAAAAAAAAUUUUUUUAAACAUAAAAGAGGAAAUAUUGCUACCAAUACAUAAAUAAAAAUAAUUGUAAAGGAAUACUAUGGGGGUGCCUGGGUGGCUCAGUCAGUUAAGUGUCCGUCUCUUGAUUUCCACUCAGGUCACAAUCUCACGGUUGGUGGGUCUGAGCCCCACAUCGGACUCCAAGCUAACAGUGUGGAGCCUCCGUGGGAUAGUCUCUCUCUCUGCCCCUCCCCCACUCACACUCACACAAUCUCUCUUUCUCAAAAUAAAUAAGCUUUAAAAAAAAAAAAAAAGGUAUACUAUGGACAACUGCCUGCCAACAAAUCAGACAACAUACAUGAAAUGGACACAUUGUAGGAGACCUACAGACUACCAAAAGACCCAAAAGAAAUAGAAAAUCUAAUAGACCCAUAAUCAGUAAAGAGAUUGAAUUAGUAGUCAAAAACACUUCCCACAAUAAAAAGCCUGGGACCAAAUGGCUUCACUGAUGAAUUCUACCACAUAUUUGAAGAACUGGUACCAGUUCCAAAGCAUUCCAAAGUCAAAGUGUUCCAAAGUACAAGCGUUUCCAAAAACAUAGAAGAAGAAACAAAGAAACACUUCCUGACCCAUUUCGCAUAUCAUAUAUUGAAUAGGAGACUUGUUUACGGAACACAUAAAAAACUCUUAAAACUUAAUAAUAAAGAGGCAAGCCAAUUUAAACAAUUUUGAAAAAAAAAUUCCUAAAAGAAGAUACAUAAGUGGUCAAUAAGCACAUAAAAAGAUGGUCAACAUUACUAGCCAUCAGGGAAAUGCAAACCGAAACCAAAAUUAGACCCCAGUUCACACCUACCGGAAAGCUAUAACAAAAGAUGGGUGACAAAUGUUGGCAGGGACGUGGAGAAACUGAAACCCUCCUAUGUCGCUGGUGAAAAUGUAAAAGAUGCAGAAACUCUGGAAAACAAUCAGCUCCUCGAAAUGUGAAACAUGGGGUUGUCACGUGACCUGGCCAUUCCACUCCUGGUUUAUACUCAAGAGAAGUGAAGACACAAUGUCCGCUCAAGAACUUGCCCACAGGCAAAAUAGACGGUAAUUACCCACCAUAAUUAAGUGAAACGUACAUGUUGAACUAUAAAAGAAAAUACAACUUGCAAGAUCUGAUAACUGGAAAAAAUUGACAACAUAAACUCACCACCAGAAUACCAGAGUAACAGUGUCUUUUCUGGUUGUCGUUGUUGGUUUGUUUGUUUCCUGCCUCGGGCUUGGGUUUGGCUUUAGAUCCAUGAGGCACUAUUUUCAGUACAGAAAACAGGUGCAGCUUUGACGAAACAAACAAGAAAACAACUCGCAGCUUUGCGGUGUGUUCAGGGCAGCUCAUGAGUGACGUUCCAAGGCAGCUAAGGCAGAGCCAGAAAUCACUUCCCGUUCGAAGUACAAUCAUCAGGGAGUCAAAAUCAGAGCUGUAAUGAAACUUCCUAGACUGUUGCUUCGUCGGGACAUUCAUAUGUGCAUCCACAGUGUGACCUGUUUGAAGUUAGAAGUAGAGCUUGAAUGUCUGACUAGCCCAUAUGCAAAAGCAAUUCGGAAGAUUGCUGGAGAAGCGCCUUCAUGCACAGAAAGGCUGAGGGAUGCGUAGCAGCUGAAAUUGCAAGGGGAGAAGUCUGAGGCUCGGCUGGCGGAAGCCACCAGCCGGGUCCUGAGCAACGGUGGGACAGCCUGGGCAGCAUCUCUGGCCUCCUGCCCUCCUGGGAGCCCCCCACCAGACAGCAGCAGCAGCAACAGAUCACAGAACAAGGUGCCAUCACCUGUUCUGAGACGUGCCUAAGGCUCAGCGGUACCCAUGCGUCGUCCCUUCCGCUUUGUGCCAACCUCAUUUCUCAACUCGGCAUCUUCACAAGUCCCAGAAACAUUGUGUUCGGACUAAAAACAUUAGUUUUUACAACUAAAGACUUUUCUGAAGGUUUCACAUGAGAAAUGGAAAAGAAAGAUCAACCCCACACUGCAAAAGAAACCACUCUAAAACUCUUCAUUGAACAGGUGAAUCUCCAAGGUUCUGUCCUCCCCACCAGGCCACUCCUGGCUUCCUUCCUCAACCUCCGCCACCCCCCCCCACUUUAUUACGUAGAGAAAAUCAUUCUUGCCCCAUUUCCAUCUUCUCCCUUCAAACAUAAUCUUCACAGUGUUGAGCAAACAAAGGGCUUUCUGGAACCCAGGAUCAGCCCUCCCUGUUCCCCAUAAACUGUGGGAUUAUAAAUUAUCUUUUAAUUUAUUAUUAUUUAAUUAAUUAAUUUUAUUUAAAUUAUUUAGUAAUUUGAUAAAAAUUAUUUAAUUUUAUUUAUAAAUUUAUUAAUUUAGUUAUUUUUUAAUUGAAUCCUCUAGGAUAGGAUUUGGAAUUGAAUCUCAGUAUUAUUUUCAAGGGACAUCGUGUAAAUACUGAUGCAUCUAAAUCCCAGGUAACAAUAAGUUACAGUUAAUAGGUUUGUACUACAUCAAAUGCAUACUUACUACAGGUACCUGCAGAGAAUUCCUGACAAAUGCCAACUAUAAAAGAAAUGUUAACUGCGCAUUUAACAGAUGGAAUUUUAGAGACAAUGUAUUACUGACUAAUACCCCGCUGAUACGCUUUAUUUCCUCAAAUAACACGCAACAGUUUCCAUCAUUUAAAUAAUAAUGACUCAUGAGAAUUCUUCCACUAUUAGAGUCAGAAGAUUGCAGGAAGCCCGAAAGGAUACUGAAUGACCACCGCGUUCCUUCACUUUUCAGGCAGCUUGUCACUUGAUGGACUAGUAUCAGUUGCUUUCCAGAACAUCCCAAAGGUGAGACUCCUACAGAGUCAUUGCUUUAGCUCUGUUGUCAUUCGAGGAAAUAGUCUGGUGCCCCUUCAUAGAGAACACCUGGCUUUCCUGAGUUCCCAGCAAUGUGGACAACCCAUGUUCAAAUUCAUAAGAGAAACUCCUCAGACUUUGAACACUCUAGACUCUGUGUCAGCAGUAACUGGGCAAGACCACAUCACCAGAGGCUUAGGAGUCAAAGGAGCAAAAAUGAAACCAUAAUCAUUAAAUACUAAUGGCAACUUAAUUACUUUCUCAGAGAAACAGAACCAUUUGAGACCAUCGGAAAGCAGAAAGUGAGAUAAUAAUUCAGCAAGAGCUUUCAUGCUGUUCGAUGCUAAGAGUAUCUCGUGGAUGUGCCCAGCCUCUGCCCAUUGUCCUUUAAAGUUAAUAUAUGCCUUUCCAGAACCUCGGGGACUCAUUUACAAAUAAUUACAAAUAAACAGAUUUCCUUUCUGAAUAGCUGGACUUCUGACACUACUUAUAGAACAUGUGUAUGACCCACACAUCAGAUUGCUAGGAUUUUAAGGACUCUUAACCACUUAUAUAACACACGAUAAGAAGUUGGCAAAUUGAUUCACAAAAGAUGAAAGCUCGAGGUAGGACUGGCCACAUAUUGGGGAAUGCUGUGGUCAGUGCAUCCGGCCCACAUCAGUCCUGCAACGCAGGACCAGAAGUACAUCCCUCUUAGCCCUUGGGAAAAUGGAGUUGCCUGUGGCUCUGAUUCAUGGUUCCGAUACAUCCCCAGAGCUGGGCCUAUAUCCUGUAGUUAAAGCUUCAAAGGAAAACGCAAGUCUUCUAUCAGGGAGAACUGAUUGUGGAGCUCAAGCUCUUAUUUGGAGAAAAGUCUGUGCCUGUUCUGAUAUGGGUAGUCUGUCAGACUUCAUGGACUAGUAUCUGAGUCCCAGGGACAAGGGGCUGAAAGCAGAAAAGACCAAGGGUAGUGUGACCCCCAAGUCUCCAUGGGGUCCUGGGGGCAUUCGUGUGGGCCCAUCCCGACAAGUGUAGAGCUAGGUGUGUGAGCUGGGGUGGGACUCAGGGCAUCCAGGCAGGGGCACAGGGUGACUCCAAGGAAGUACCCAGGGAACCAAGCCCAUAGCAGCGUGACUAAGGAUGCCUCCCUCACCUUCUCAGGUGGGGAGGUCUGGGUCUUAGAUUCCCAUAGAGGUGGCCGGUAUAGGGACAAACCUAGGAAAUACUGUUCCCGCCACCAGGGCAGGUAAAGAAAACUCACAGGCAUGUGAGUCCAACUCUUCUUGAGAAGAACCACAACCGGGAAGGAGAGGUGGUGCUUGGUGCAGAGGCAGGAAAGACAUCUUUAUGCUUUGGCUACUGUUAGUGUUUGUGUGGGAUCCCAAAGUGUUGUCAGUAGGGGCAAAAAUAGCCAUGAGGUCCCAGAACCUCCUAUAAAAAAAGGUAGGGGAAAUAAAGGAGCGGGGGAAGACAGUAACGAGUUGAGCUAAGUGAGCAUCACCGUCAGUGAAAGUGAGGUUGAGCACUGUUAGCAGAAAUAAGUCAAAAUUGAGGACUACCUUCCCUGGCAUACAACCUCUAGCCUUCUCCUUUCUAGAAUGGUUUUUAAGCCAGAUACUAAAAAUUCUGUGUUCUGUUCUCAUGGCGUGUCUUCUCUCCCCCAGUGCCGGACCGCCUCCCACCUCCCCUGCCUUGGCCCAUGUCCGACACGGGGGAAGAUUCACACCGUCCUCUACCACAUUUUCUUUCAUGGCCCCUCUCAGACGUGAAACAAUCUGAUGGGCUGAUUCCCACAGCAAAUCUGUUACCUCAGACCCACCUGAUCGUUAACAAAAGACUCCUGAAAAGACACAACCUUCGUUCUCAGGGAUAAGUUUAAAUCCUGGCACUUCAGUCAUCAAUCAUAGCAGACUGGUGAAGACAGGGUUUCCCUCAAAAUUCAUCAUGAAUUACUUCAUUUGCAACCUAACUUUUGUCUCUUUAGGCCACUCCAAUUUGGGGCUUAAAAUAAAUCUGUGCAAACAGCAAUUAUGUGUAAACCCCUGACUCCUUUUCCCACCUACAAUUUCAGCACCUCCCACUGGAAAGCUCCACCUCCAGUUAUUUCUAGAAAGUUUUCUAUUGAGGAGGGAGGCUGGUUCUUACGUUAUCUGCUAUCACCCAGCACCUGCGAUUUUAUUGUCCUUCUACUCCUGUCCCUUUUUGUGAGGGUCACAGUCUGCUCCCUGCCAAGCUGUUUAAGGCCCAACCACUGCCAUGAACGGCGGAGUCACCUCGUGCCACUGAGAUUGCACCCUGUGCACAUUUCCAUUAGCUCUAACCCCCUAAAAAGGGGCAGCUGGUGGCUUCAUCGCUUAAGCCUCCGACUUCAGCUCACGUCCUGAUCUCCCAGUUCGUGGGUUUGAGCCCUGCAGGGGCUCUGUACUGACAGCUCAGAGCCUGGAGCCUGCUUCAGAUUCUGUGUCUCCCUCUCUCUCUGCCCCUCCCCUGCACGUGCUCUCUCUCUCUCUCUCUCUCUCUCUCUCUCAAAAAUAAAUAAACGUUAAAAAAAUUCUAAACUCCCCCUCCAAAAAAAAUGUAGUUCUGAGUUAUUUCUUUAUUUUUACCAAAUCUAGUCCUAAAGGAUUUAAAGUCCAAAAAUAUGUACAAUGAAAUAAGAUAAUGAGUAGAAACUGAAUUUGUAGAAAAAUAAUGGUAGAAAGAUAACAAUAAAGCUAUCAGUGAAAUUAGUGCAUAAAACACAUGCCCUAAAAUCAUGUGUGCUUGCUUGAGGUGGUCCAAAAAUUUGACUCUGAGCUUUUUAGCAGCCGCUACAAAGAGGGAACCAUAAGCAAAAUCUUUUUAAUUCUCGGUAUCCGAAAUCCGAGACAAAUGUCUCCUAUGGAUAGAUCUUUUAAAGAAGUUUCUCUUUCAUGUAAUAAUACCCUGUUACCUUCCUCAAUAUUCUUAUAGUAAACCCAAUAAUAUGCAUGAGAUCAGUUGUAGCAUUUCUUCAAGGUGUAACUAGGGCAUGUUACACAAACUGAGUUCAGAAAAGUAAUUUCAAUGUAGGAAAACAAAAACAAAAACAACGUGGUCUAGGUUUGGUGCAGAAAUAAAAGAGUAAUGAGAAAACAGGCCCCAGAGAGCCAACACAUUGACUUCUACAUUCAGCUGAAGGGAGGGUAAGGUUGACAGGUUUUUAUAAAAGCUGAGACCCCCAAAGAAGGUGUGUGUGGCGUAGAAGGUCUCCACCAGUGCACGAGGUAAGCAGAGAGUACAGGACGACACAGGCAAGACGUUCUCCAAUGUGCAGAGAAAUGAGCAGUCAAGUCUCAGAGCUAGAAUGUGAAAACAAUCAUUUUUGUAUGGAAAACCAUUUAUGAAAAUCUCAGCAAAAACAAACAAACAUAACCCUCAUUGGAGUAUCUAUUGAGCGUCCAACUUCAGGCAGGGUGACUGCCCAGUGAACCCUCCAAGACAAUUGACUGAAUUGACCCUAACAUAAUUGACGGGAUUUACCAGUUUUCUAGGGCUAGUAACCAUCAGCCAGUUGUAGGUUGAUAGAGUCUAGUAAAAAUGAAGAGAUUUUUGUUUCUGAAGUCCUUCUUUCUGGAGAUACUUGCGAAGGACAGCCAGUUGCCAAGUAAGGUCACUCUUUGUUCACUGAACUAAAACAUGGGAUCUGCUUAUAAUAAAAUGCUAAUAUUUAUUUCCAUAGCCUCAGGAUGGGAAUUUUAUUGAGUCCUUUUCAAUUUAGGUAUGUUCAACUGAAAAGUAAACAUUUCCUUCUGUCCAAACUUUGAAAAACAUGUAGGCCCCUUCCAAACCCAAUAAAAAAAAAAGUCUGUAUUUUUCUUAAAGGAGCACAUUAAUAGUUCAAGUGUAAAAUUUUUGCAUUAAAAAAAUAAUAACAAAUCUCAUUAGAAGGUGCUAGUCAGAUAUUGUGGUUUGACUCUGAGUUUAAGAAAACAAAAGAACAGACUGGUUCCAUGCACAAGGGUCUGUUUAUUUAUUUACAACAGCUUCAGCAGACAGGAAUGUUCCUUUUAUAGUGAAGAGCUCAGGGCCAUGACAGUCUACAAUUAAACACCCUUUCUCUCCUCAAUUUCAUCUAAUCAGUGGUCCAAAGUCAGAGAUGUGAUGAGGGCCUAUGUGGGGUUUAACGUUUCAUCUAUGAACUUGCUAAACUGUCUGGGGACAAAUUAUGUCGACUUUCCAUUAUUUGGCCCAUUUCACUGUCUGUUCACCUUUAUCAGUGCAGAGGAAGAGAAAUGCCUAUUUAUUUUAAAAGUCUUAAGUACAAUGCCCUGGGAGGAUGUAAUAUAGAAAAGACAGGAACUGACCAUGUAACUGUUUCAUAUCUGCAAACUCUUUCACUCUGGUAUCAAUUAUGAAGCCAGAUUUCUAUUCAUCCUAUGCAGCCCUACCGUUACCUCAUUAUUAUAUAUUAUAUGAUUAUGAAAGCCAGAUAUUUAAAAUUAUGAAUCUAUGUUUCCAUAAUAAGUGAUUUCAAAAUCAUUUAUGGCUUGUGGCUUAGAAGAAGAAAAAUCACAUAAUUUAGUUCCGCCCCUGAAUGUCCAAGCAUCGUAGAUAUCACCCUACUUUGCCAGUAGUGGCAUUAAGGGAAGAAAUUCAGGCCCUUUACCGGACCCCCAGAGAGGGAAAAUAUUUCCCAAAAGAUCAAGACCAAAGCCACCAAAAUAAUACAAAAAAUAUUGGAAACACAGUGACGAAAUAGAAAAUGGUUCCUUAGAAGGGGUGAGUCAUACAACUGUAGACAUCAAACUAAUAGUUUAAUGUUGCUAUAAAUGUGUGUUUUACAAGAUGAAGCGAUGAUCUGGGCAUGUAAUCAAUACCUGAGAUUCUGCAGUCAUUUUAGAUCAAGACCUUCAAGAAUUAUAACUUCCAUUCAUAUACUGUAGUUCAGAAUCCACGACUGAGGGAGAAACCAACAUCAGCUAUCACUGCCAGAGUUCAGACUGAUGUUUAAAACCCAAGACUCUAAUCCGUCCUUCUCUGAUACAUCCCAGGUUGAAGAAAUAAAUGUCGAGAAAGUAGAAGGCCUUUCAGCUAGAUAGAACAUUGUGCUAGAAUGAGAAUUAAGGGAAUUUGAUUCUGACAUGACCCCAUCAAACCCCAAACCUCAUUUUGCUGAUAGAUACCAGAAGGAAAAACAAAAAGGUUGAAUCUACGCUUGUGUGCCAGUAAAAACUCCACUACAAGUUUCACAGAGAGAACGACUGACAUAUGGGAAUGCAUAGGGAACGUGGUUAAAAUACCAAAUAGAAGUCGCAAGAUUAAAUUUCUACCUUCCAGCAGGUAUUCAAGCAACAACAAGGAAAAAAACAAAACAGUAAGGGCUCACUAUUAGGAAAUCUUUUUUGUUCCUGUCAGCAGCAUAUCUCAACCUGAGCUAUCGUUAUUUGUUGGUGGGAAUAUACAACAAAAAAUACCUAUAGCAAGCAAGGUCCUGACAGCCAAGUUCCAUUGUUUCCAUGAAGCUCCUCCUCUUGGUGAUUGUGCAAAAGACACUCUUCCAAAUGAGGUAACAGAAAGUAAGAAGGGAUCAUGAACUUUGUGAACCAUUUUGUAAACUAAACUAUAUUCCUGUUAAUGGGCUCUUGGGUCUGGCUUUUAAAACGUUUCAAGAAUGUUCUAAAAACUUUCCAUUUUGCUAUACUGGUAACUCAAGAGAAAUAGCACAUUCACUUUUAUACAGAUUGCUCUUGUGGUCCUAGUGAGUCCUGAAAUGCAUGUUAGAGUUGACUAAAUAAUUUUACAGGUGAAAUCUUUUGGGAUCUCUCGUAGUUAGCAUGAUUCCUAAGUCAUUAGCCAAAAGAAAUAAAUAGUUGGCCAAGGUUUGUUAUGGGAAAUAUACAUGUAACAUCUAGCAGACUUGACUGCACAGCUAUUAUGGGUUAGGCCCUGGAGGUCCAGCGAUGAGCCCCUGCCCUCAGAUGCCUUAGGAGCUAGUUUGGAGACAGACACUCAACAUAUUUAGUGGCAAUUAUAAGACAGUGUUGCAUGCUUCUUGUAAUCAACCCAAUCCUGUCUCUUGUGAACAACAGCUAGAGAACAAAUGAAGUUAAAUAGGGAUGUCCUAGAAAUGCUGCACGGAAAUAGACUUAACAUGGUUUCCGUAAAUAAAACUGAGGACACUGACAGCAAGAUGCUGAAUCCGGAGUUUCCUAGAAAAAGGGUGAAAAUUUGUCUUUUGCACAAAAGUCUUUCUGCACAACCCGGUUACCAACCAGUAUCACACCCAGAUCCAGAGAUUUAUGUUAAGGCUUGAAAUGUGGCUACUGAGCAAAUUAAGGUGUAAUUUUAAUGUAAAACAUAUAGCAAGUCUUAAAAAACAAUAUGAAAGAAAGAAUGUAGAUCAUCUCAUCAGCACCUGCUUUAUGUGGAUGACAUUUUGAAAUGACACUGUUUGGGAUAUAUUGGCUAAAUAAAAUAGAUCUGGCGGGGCACCUGGGUGGCUCAGUCAGUUAAGGGUCUGACUUCGGCUCAGGUGAUGAUCUUGUGCGUUCAAGCCCCACAUCGGGCUCAGUGCUGACAGCUUGGAGCCUGGAGCCUGCUUUGGAUUCUGUGUCUCCCUUUCUCUCUGCCCCUCCCCCUGCCCAUGCUCUGUCUCUCUCUCUCAAAAAUAAAUAAACAUUAAAAUUGAAAAAAAACUUAAAUAAAAUAUAUCAUUCAAAUUAAUUCCACUUAUUUCUUCUUGUUUUUUAAUAUGGCCACUAAAAACUUAUUAAUUUCGUGUGUGGUUCAUGUUAUGUUUUUAUUGGACAACACCGGCUUAGCCUCUUGAACCAGAGAAAACUGAGUUCAAAUGCACAUAUUAGCCAGGUGGCCUCGAGCUAGUUACUUCACUUCUGACCACUUGCCGUGUAGCAGGUUCUGUUUGAAUUAGUAGGGAUACCUGGAAGAAUUGUUUUUUAGGAUGAAGCUUACCAAGUGACUUGUUCAACGUAAGUCUCUAAUUACUUUUAGCAAAUAUUUUCAAAAUAUCUCAACUUUGCAGUGACCAUUUUCUUCACUUUACUGAUAGUCAUCGCCUAAAAGAAUCCCACAGUCUAGGGGCGCCUGGGUAGUUGAGUCGGUUAAGUGUCCAGCUCUGUGUUUUAUCUCAGGUAGUGAUCUCACCAUUCGUGAGUUUGAGCCUCGUGCUGGGCUCUGUGCUGACAGUGUGGAGCCCGCUGGGGAUUCUCUCUCUCUCUUUCUCUGCCCCGCCUCCACUCGUGCUCUCUCUGUGUCUCUCUCAAAAUAAAUAAACUUGAAAAAAAUCCCAUGAUCUAAAUUGACCCGGGAUCUUCACAAAGGAAGUGGCAUUUUCCACUGUCCUCUGGAUUCUUGUUUCCAGCCUUCACUAUUCGAUAAGACCUAGCUCGGAUACUUCUCCCGUAAAAACUUCCCUGACUUUCCUGUCCAAGUAAUGAUUCUCAAAUCUAUUCUUUAUUUAACAAUUUUUUACUGAGCACCUACUAUGUGCCCGCCCUGCUUUGGGGUCAAAAUAUAAAAAAGUGAGCAAAAUAAUGUUUUCGCCCCAGCGGUGCAUACCUUCCUAUGAAAAAGAUAGACAAUAAACAAAAACAUACAUAGCAUAAUGCCAGCUAAGGAGAAGGCUAGGGAAAAAUAAAGUCAGGAAGGGAACAGAAAAUGACAGAGUCAGGGAACACUGUUGUACAUAGCGUGGCCCAUGACAGCCCUUCUGGAGCAUUGACACUUGAGCGAAAGCAUAGGAUGCCCUACCUAACAUACUCAGUGUGUGGACAAAUACCAAGGAAGGAGUGAUUCUUGUGCCACGAUUCUCUCAUCUGGAAAGGUAUGCAUACAGCAGUGUCCUUGGACACUGACUGGAAAUGCCCCUGGAAAGCAACUGAGCAAUUGUCUAUAGUCUUCCUACUCUGCAAUCUCCUAGAAGAAAUAACAGAGAAGCCUGUGAAAACAUCAUGCCGUCAAAAAAACUGCCCCGUGGCUGGUCGUGAGGACAUUCUCCUGGCUUGUCAAAAGUAAGGGACUGACUAAAGCCUUUGGAGGCUCUUGUCUCGGCCACAUCCCGUUAAUGUUUUUCUUCGUGUUAGAAAUGAUAAAUGAUUUUUAUAACUUAACUAGUUACAUUCUUGCCUGAAAAAAAAAUGAAAGAAUUAGCAAACUUCCAUUUCAUCAGGCUAUGUUUAAUGUGGUCUACAGCAUUCUUUUUUUAACAGAAAUAUAUUUUUUUAUUUUUCUUAAGGUAACAAGCGUUUAAAUUUAAAUAAGAUAGGAACAUUUUUUUUUUAAUUUUUUUAACGUUUAUUUAUUUUUGAGACAGAGAGAGACAGAGCAUGAACGGGGGAGGGGCAGAGAGAGAGGGAGACACAGAACCGGAAGCAGGCUCCAGGCUCUGGGCCAUCAGCCCAGCUCGAACUCACAGACCGUGAGAUCGUGACCUGAGCUGAAGUCGGACACUUAACCGACUGAGCCACCCAGGCGCCCCAAGACAGGAACAUUUUUAACAAAAAGCACCAAUCUCUUUCCUAAGUCUUAAUGGUCUCAGUUCCAUUUACCAGUGUGCUAUAUUAACUCUGUCGACUUUUCUGUGUUUACUUUUUCUAGCUGUUGCAUGGUUCUCUAAAUAACAGGCACGCGCGUAGAUCACAAUUGUUUGAUCCAUCAAGUGUAGACAUCUGUGGACCUCCUACCAAGAUAGCUGCCUGAUCUCCUUCCCACCUUUCUUCUCCCAUCCUGUCAGGUAAAAUUAUGAUCGUAAGUCCUUCUGUUGGUUGUCUUUUUAACUUAAAUAUAUGAAUAUACAAGCAUUUCUUGAGUUCUCACUUGGUAAAAAUGGAUUCUUAAUGGCCCUGUUCUUUCUCCUUUUCUCCCCACCCUACCUUGCAACUUCAGCUGCUCAGGACCUUAACUUUUCCUUGUUGAUUUUGAUAGUGCUUACUUUUUAAAAAUAACGUAAUUAAGUCUUCCUCACAUAUUGGUUGAUUCUAAAAGCUGAAAAUCAGUAGACAGUAUGUGUGGUAUUAUGACUUUGUAGUGUCAUUGACUGUGCAGCCAAGUAGUAUAUUAUUAGUGCAUUUAAAUUUUCUGUUUUCCUUGAGUUUUUGGCUAUCUCCUCCUCCUCCUCCCCCUCCUCUCCUUCCUCCUCCUCCUCCUCCUGCUUCUCCGUGCUCUUCUGCUUCUGUUUCUUCUUUGCAUUACUCGCCUUUAUUAAAUCCUUACUUUUCCAAUAGCUCAAGGAUUUCGCAAAUUUUUGGAAGAAUUCCAUCGUUCCAGAUGGAACUUUUGCCCCUCGGUCUAAACUUAAUGCUCUCCAGAUCUGCUCCUCACUGUAACACCAGAACUUCACUUUGUUAUUCCUUCCUGUCCUUUUCUUCUUCCUGUUUUAUCCCAGCUUGGCUAGACCAUACCCUCUAAGCAACUGUUACAUACGUACAAAACUGUAUGUAACAGACAGACUUUCUAAGUCCUUAGAUGUAUGAAAAUGCAUUCUAUCCUCCGUCUUGAUUGAUAGCCUUGCUGAGUAUAAAACGUGAGAUUGAAAUAAUUUGCCUCAUAAUUUUGAAAGCAUAUACCAUUAUUUGCUGGCCAUCCUGAGCUGCUGAGGGGAGGGUCAAAUGGUCGCCUGAUUUCUGUUCUUCGGUAACUCCUCUGGUUUGUUUUUCUCUAUCCCUCUCUGUAAAUUUUUUGAUGUUUUCUUUUAUAGAUUUUCUGAAACUCUACAGGACUAAGUUGAGAUGAGUCUUUUUCCUAUUCAGUGUUCCGGGCAACUAGUGUUAUUCAGCUCUGAGAAUUCCUUUUUUAUUUCUUGAGUUAUUUCCUGUCUUCCAUUUUUUCUGUUCUCUCUUCUGAAAUUCUUAUUGGUCAAAAUCUCAGAUACUUUGGGUUGAUCUUCUAGGUCUCUCCUUUUCAUUCAUAUCUUUCAUCUCUUAGUCUUUAUGUUUUACUUCUUAAGAGAAAGGGGGAGUGGAUACAGAGCUGGCUUAGUGUAAAGGGCCUCCAGUGCCAGAACUGCUUUGGGGAAGAAAUGCUCAUUCUUGCUGCUGGCUCUGAAUUUGUUCAGUUUGUUUAUCGUAACAUGUUUAGGGUUGUUUGGAGGUAAAUUACUGACCAUCACAUGUUUUGAAUGCACGUUUGAGAGGAGAUGGAAUCUUUCUAGACAGAUUUUCAAGGAACCCUCUUGGUGUCAGCCCAGUGAAUCAUUCUUGCUGUCCGUCAGAAUUGCCAUAACUGAAUCCCAAACUCCCACAGAGUCCUACAUAUGCUAGAAUGCAGUUUACUCUUCCCUGCAAUCUUUCACCCACUUGCUGCCAUCCCAAAAUUUGCUAAAAUCUCUCCUUCCUUUGCUACCGAUCAACUCCUGCCCUUUUUGAUUUUGUGAUUGAUAUCUUUAAGACUUUUAUGAUCAUUUUAAUAGGGUUUUUAAAAGGAGAAAACAUAAAUCUGGUCAGCCACCCAUGUUGAGCCAGAAUUCUAUGGCUCAUUUUAGAACAAGACACAUCUUGUUUGUCUUGUACACCGUACAAUAGAUUUCUCUUUUAUUUACUGCAUCUCAAAAAGUAUCAUUUUGGAGCAUGCUACAUCUCUUUGAAAAAAAUGAAAAGUAAUGAUGAGAAUCUUCCUGAAUGAAUUUUUAGAAGAGUAAAGAUCAGCAGAGACUGAUGGGUGACCAAUAGCACCAGGAAGGCCAGAAGAUUGAGAGUAGAGAAAUCCUGCUUCAAAGUCUGAUUUUUAUCUCCAUUUGAAUUAAUUUUUUGGUCCAGUGAAUAAACAUUUGUUGAUUACUCAGUGUUCUUUAGGCAUUGCUAUAAAUCAAUACACACACACACACCCUUCACGAGAUCAGAGUCAAGUAGAAGAGUAUAAUACCCAUCCUUGCACCACAUGACAACUUACAGCUAUAGAAAGGUUAGAGAAUGGCCCCUGCUUGCACAAGAAAACCCUAAAUAAUUUAUUAACUAUCAAGUGGCUGUUUUAUUUACCCACAGCUGUGUGACAAAUUAGCCAUGGUUUCCACCAGAAGGAUUUACUACCCAGCAGUGAAAGAGAUUCACGCAUUCAGAGCAUUGGCUUUGGAAUCACACGGACCUGAAUUUUCAUCCGAAAUUCUCCACCACUCACUAACUUGUAAACUUACAAAAGUUGCUUUGCCUCUCUGAGACCCCAUUUUCUCUUUUAUAACAUGGGUAGUAAUACUACACUGAAGCUCCCUUAGCCAGCCUCCAUUUAACCAACUCUCCAGAUUCAUGAAGACUCUUCUUUCUCCGUAAAACUUGCUGACUGCUGCUCAAUCAUGCUGAAAGCACACACUUUACAGGCCACACAAGAUGAUGCCCCUCCAACCAAGUCACGCCUACUAGAUACACCUGUGUUUGCUUCUAAAUAUAUUCAUGCUGGGGGCGCCUGGGUGGCGCAGUCGGUUAAGCGUCCGACUUCAGCCAGGUCACGAUCUCGCGGUCCGGGAGUUCGAGCCCCGCGUCGGGCUCUGGGCUGAUGGCUCAGAGCCUGGAGCCUGUUUCCGAUUCUGUGUCUCCCUCUCUCUCUGCCCCUCCCCCGUUCAUGCUCUGUCUCUCUCUGUCCCAAAAAUAAAUAAACGUUGAAAAAAAAAAAUUAAAAAAAAAAAAAAAUUAGGUCACAAAAAAAAAUAAAAAAUAAAAAAAUAAAUAAAUAUAUUCAUGCUGAUUUUAGUUAGUUGCAAGACAAUUAAAAUCUUAAUUACAAGACAAUUAAAAUUUUUAUCACAAGACAAUUAAAAUAUGAAGGCAAAAAGUAAAAGGUAACUUUUUAAAAUACUGUCAAAUUAGUUGGUAAAAAGAUACAUAGAUAGAUAUUUAGAUAUUGGUGAUAUAAUUGGAAAAAAUGGUGUGGCGAAUUUGUAAAAAUCUACAAGUGUUCUGUACUCAAUAUGUUUUGCAGGUGUAGUUACAUCCUGAACAUUUCAGACGUCAUAAAUAAAGCAAUAGGUAUGGUUUAUGCAAAAAGACUAAGGGAGAUUUAAUCAAUAGACUCAUAAUAAAAGAAAAACCCUUGGCCUUAUGAAUAACAUGUGAAUAAAGUAUUGUGUGCUUAGGAUUAAAAUAAAAUUUUGUGGAGUGAUUGGUUGAGUUAAUUAAAAUAGGUACAGCCUUUAUUAACAGUGCCAGGCACACAGACUUUCCAUAAGUGGUAGGCAUUGUUGUUAGGGACAUGUAUGAUUUCAUUUGACAAAAUAUUUAUUGUGGGUCUGCUCUGGGGGCGGCUGAGUGGCUCAGUUGGUUGAGCCUCAAACUCUUGAUUUUGGCACAGGUUAGUCAUGAUGUCACAGCCGUGGGAUUGAGCCCCAGCAGGCUCCCCACUGGGUGUGGACCCUGCUUGGGAUUCUCUCUCUUCCUCUCCCUCUGCCCCUCCCCGGCUCACUCGAGUGCUCUCUCUCUCUCUAUCUCUCUCUCUCUCAAAAAAAAAAAAAAAAAAAAAACUUAAAAAAAUUUUUAAAAGGAGUCCACUCUAUGCCAAGCCGAGCAUACAACGGUGAGCAAAGCAAGUCUGGACACUGCCUUUAUGAGUCUUGCAAUGUAGAGGGAGGGCAUAUAUUUGACCAAAUCAUUACACAAAGCCAGAAUCGCAAUGUAUGAUGAGGGCUAUGAAGGAAAAAUACAGUAGGCAAUAACAACAUACGUCAGGGGACCUGAACUUUGAGGGUCGCCAGGAAGUAGCCUCUGAACUGAGUUCUGCAGCAUGAAUCAGAACUAGCCAGACAAGGAAAACAGAAUUGCAGGCAGAGAAAACAUCAUGUUCAGAUAUCCUGAAGCAGGAGAGAGCUUCCCAUAGCGAAGAAGCUGAAGAAGGGCCGAUGUGGCUGCUAUUCAGAAAAGCGAGCGUGGCAUCUAAAUAUGCCGAAUAGAUUGGCAAGGCCAAAUCUAGCAGAGCUUUGCAGGCCGGGCUAAGAAUUCAAGGCAUUAACAUCCUGCGGUGCAAAUUCAGAGGUCACAAUCUACUCGAAGAUCAAAUUGCAAAAGCAUCUUCAUUCCCUUUGAAAGCCUGUAUUAGCUGCCGUAAUAAAUAGACACCAAAACUUCAGCGUUCUGACCCAGGCUGAAACUGAUUUCUUGCUCAGUAAUAGUCUUCGACGGAUACUCCUAGCUGGUGGGAAGCUUUCCUCCACACAGCGAUUCAGGGACUCAAGCUACUCCCAUCUUAGGACGCUGCUAUCCUCCAGACUUCAUCAACCCCCACACCUCUAGCCGACAUAAGGGAGAGAAGAGCAAGAAGUAGACACGCCCACACGCCCAGAGUGACUUACAUCACUUCCGCUGCCAUUCCGUGGAUGAGAGCUCGGCAAUGAACACACCAGGUAAACAGAGGAAAGUAGAUCAGCUGCUCCCAGGGACAGCUGCUGUCCAUGAGUAGGGGAGGGUGAUCUGGAGUGCCCAGCUCUGCCACAAGCCACUUAACGUAAAUUAACAUUCGUGCCAAGUCAGUUUUUCCUCUUAUCUUCAGAAAUCUCCCUUACUUCAAUCUAAGUGCAUUCUCAAUAUGAGUUCAUAGUCAGUAAUCCAUGUGGCUAUUUUAAAAGGCAUAGCAAAUAUUAGAUCUUUCUUAUAAAUGCAAUGUACCAUAAUAAACAUUAAUGUAUUUGGAGGUCCUACUAGUCUGGACACGUAGUAGCUACCAGUAUUUGGAUGGUCUGAAUUCUUCUAAUGUUUUCGUGUUCUACCAUUAACGGAAGUGUUUACAGUGUCCAACUAACGUCACUCCUGGAUAUUCCCAAAUGAAGUAUGGUGUCCCGAGUACUUCUUCCAUCAGCUGUCCCAAGCCUACUUUGAAAAGUUCCACCAGGGGCGCCUGGGUGGCUCAGUCCAUUCAGCGUCCAACUCUUGAUCUCGGCUCAGGUCAGGAGAUUGAGCCCAAGUCAGGCUCUGUGCUGACGGUGUGGAGCCUGCUUGGGAUUCUCUUUCUGCCCCUCCCCCAACCCCUGCUCACUCUCCCUCUCGCUCUCUCUCGCUCUCUCUCUCAAAAUAAAUAGAUGAACUAAAAACAAAACAGUUCCACCAAUACUCAGCACCCCCCACACGUGUACACAACUAAAAUCUCCACUAAAAAAAAUAAAUGUUAAGCCUGUUGUCAUGUAUCUUUUCCUCGACACAUGUGUCACCUGAUUUUGAAUAAAGAAGAAAAACAAAAAGCUCUCUGUAAAAUCUUCUUUAGACCCUCUAACCUCAAGCCUUCACAUGAAGAGGUUCAGAUCUACAGCUACUCUCCCAGGUCCAGUUUUUCCUUCAAAUAGGUUUUGCUGGGUUUGUCUCCUCUAUUGCCCAUGUUCACGAACAUGAUAAAGUCUAGCACAUGCCCUGUUUUCCUUCUGUAGAAUAAGCUAUACCAGGGAUGUGACAUCAAAAGUACAGGCAAUAAAAGAAAACCCAGGUAAGUAGGACUCAGUCAAAUUUAGAACGUUUAUGCCUCAAAAACACUCCCCACAGAGUGAAAAGUUAGCAGGCAAUGGGAGAAAAUACACAAUGGCUACUAAACUCAUGAAAAGAUGUUCAACAUCACCAAUCGUUAGGGAAAUGCAAAUCACAACCAUAAGAUACCAUUUCACAGCCAUUACGAUGGCUGUCAUCAAAAAACAAAACAAAACAGAAAAUGACAAGUGUUGGUAAGAUGGAGAAAUUGGAACCCUUGUGCACUGCUGGUACAUUUUACAUUUGUAAAAUGGUGCCACAGGAGGGAAAAUGGGAUGUGGUUCUUCAAAAAAGUACAAAUAGGGGCACCUGGGUGGCACAGUCACUCAAGCGUCUGACUCUUGGUUUCGGCUCAGGUCAUGGCCUCAUGGUUCAUGAGUUUGAGCCCCGCAUUGGGCUCUGUGCUGACAGUGUGGAUUCUCUCUCUCCCUGCUCUCUCUCUCUCGCUCUCUCUCUCUCUCUCAAAAUAAAUCCAUAAAAUUAAAAAAAAAAAACUUUGUAAGUACAAACAGAUUGUCAUAUGAUCUAGCAACUCUCCUUCUGACUAUAAACACAAGAAUUGAAAGCAGGGGACUCAAACAGGUAUUUGUACACGCAUGCUCAUACAGCAUUCGUCACAAAAGCUAAAAGAUGGAAGCCAUCCAACUGUCUACCAGCAGAUGAAUAGGUAAACAAACUGUGGUAUAUACAUACGAUGGAGUAUCUCAUCGGUCUUUAAAAGGGAUGAAAUACUGAUACAGUACGGAAGUGCUGAUACUACAACAACAUGAAUGAAUCUUGGAGACAUUACGCUGUGAAAUCACCCAGUCACAGAAGGACAAAUACCAUAGAGUUCCACCCAUAACGAGGUACCUUGAGUGGUCAAAUUGGUAAAUGCAGAGAGUAGAGUGGGGGCUGAGGGGAGGGGGAAAUGAAGGUACUAUAUGAGUACAGAAUUUCAGUUUGGGAAAAUGAAAAAGUUCGGGAGACCGAUGGUGGUUGUACAGAAAAGUGAAUAUAGUUAUUGCGUGGAUCUUUUACUUAAAAGUGGUUAAAACAGGAAGGAAGGAAGGAAGGAAGGAAGGAAGGAAGGAAGGAAGGAAGGAAAGAAGAAAGGAAGGAAGGAAGGAACAGAUGGAGGGAGGAAGGGGGAAGGGAGUGAAAGGAAGGAUCUGGUACUUGAGACAAAGCCUGGUGGAAGCCAUGGCCCCAAACAGAACCUGACAUCCUAAGACAAUGAUGUCUCCUUUGCUACAAAGGACCAGAGCUUUCAGUGGGAGGCCCUUGGAUCCCUUUAUUAACUGGCAAGCAACAUGGACUUGUUUUGUUGUUUAAGCUUUAGAGCUGAGGACAGAGUGUCUGGAACGCCCCAUAAUCACCAACCCGCAUACUGAAGAUUGGGUCAGUUUGUAAAAACGGUUGAUUCAGUAGGGUUCAUGCCAGUGUCCUUUAUACAUUUUUUAUCUUUCUGACCAAAAAAGAUAAAGAGUAUAUAGCAUUUAAUUUAAUAUUUAAGCUAAACUAAAUAUAUAUAUGUAUAUAUGUGUAUAUAUGUAUAUAUAUGUAUAUACAUGUGUAUAUACAUAUACAUAUAUAUAUACACAUUUAGUAUGUAUAAAAUGUACAUGAAGGUAAAGAGUAUAUAUUACUUCAUUUAACUUAAUUUUCAAGUCUGGUCUAUAUUCUUAUUCCCAGCAUAACUAUUAAAUCCAAGAAGGCAGAGGAGGAGAAGAAGAAAAGACAAAACCAUGGAUAUCUCAGAUGUUAAAAGGUGAGUCACAGUUCGCUUCAUCCUAGGUAGAAAGAAGUCUGUAGUGUUAACUCUGGUUGGGUGGUUUACAGACCUAAGAAGUUUCCAUUCUUACCCAUUUCUUACUGUAUGUAAGUCCAGCCUGGUUUGUACUCCUCCACGGCGGAAUAAUACUUACACCCUCCAUCUAUGUCCUUCCUUCUAGUUGUAGCUGUCUUUCUACUGUGAGUUUAUUUGCGUAAUUAACACACUGAUUUAUUUUGUCCUGACAGCCUCGGGCAGUGGUACUGGGGGUACAAAAGUUUAAGUCAAACAAAUACUUUUGAAAACGAAUCACCCAGGAUUCCUUUCUUUUCAGAUUCUCUUGAAGUCAGAUAAUAGGAAUUCUAGGGACUAUCCACUCGAGACAAAAAAAUAAAAAGGAAAAGAAAAGAAAAGGUUUUAUAGCCAACGAUGAUCUACAUAAACUUUAAUGCCCUUUAAGAUCAUGUGCCUUGCGGUCAGCUAAUUUUUCUCGGAAGGUCUCUGAGAUGAAUGAGCGUAUUCUCAUAUGUCAGCCAGUAAUAAAGGCUAACAAGGGGUGACCCUGAAAAAUAUGUUGACCAGGGUUCUCUACUAUCAGAUUACGAGUGGAGGGUGUUGGAUUGUUCAUAAAAUGCUUUUGAUCUUUGCUGAGACUAAGUUGCUAAGCCAGCCAGACUUUGGGAUUCAGAAAAUCUACUCUGUGAAGCCAAACUUAAACUCACAAUGGUCCUAAUUAAGGACCAGUGAGUUAAAUUGGGUAUGUAGAGGCCAAUUUUUUUUUUUUAAAUAAAGAACAUUUGUUCAGAGUAAAGCUGCCAUCAGGCUUUUACUCCUUGUACAGGUUUCCCUUUUACAACUCUGCCCAAGUAAACCAGCCAAAUUCCAGAAUCUCACCAGGAACACCAGCAUGAAUUAAUACUAAGUCUGAAUUACACGAUAAUUUGGAAAUAGCACUUCCUUAAUGACCAUCAAGAAUUUGCAAACAAAACAAAGCACUAAUGGCUAGCCAGGUAUGGCCUAGAAAAACACUGAUCACUUGACAUGCAAAAGGUGACACCCAGCAUAUUCAAAGGAACACUAUUCAGGAGGGAGGGGGCCUGAGUCCUCUGUUUUUUCUGUGUGGGCUUGUACAAGUCAGUUAAGCUUUCUAGUCCUCUCUUUUCUCUUUUUGUAAAAUGAGGGCCAUAUGCUAAUAAUCUCUAUCUCCUUUCUGGCUCCCAAAUUCUAAUUUACAUCUCUAAAUCACUUAAAGCACAGUGUCUCUACGAAAACUAAUCUUGCUAAACUGAUUCCGACAUAACUUUAGUUGACUUAUUUAAGUAGGUUAAGCAUCCCCACAUUAGGAGCUCUGGAUCAUGUUCUCCCUAUUAAUUUUCUCAUAAAUAGCACAGAAGUAAGUUGCAACCCAGUUUUGCCUGCAGUGUCAUAAAAUCUGAAUUAGUUGAAUUUAAACUGGUGAAGUGUGCAUAUGUGUUAGGUUAAAAGCCAGUAUCAACUCAUCGUGCAUGCUCUUUCCCGGGUCAUUGCCUCUUUCUCUGAACCAUCUGCCCAGGAAAUUGUAAAUUGCCCACCACUUCCACCAACACGCCCGACUCCUGAAAGUCUGACUCCAGACGGUGUCUCUCCUGAACUCCAAACUGAUGUUUAAUAACAAUGUCCACCACUCCCUGAAUGCCUCUUCCAAGUCUGGUGCUAAGCUGUCAUUUUAACAACGUGGUGUCGACGUCGACCGCAGCUCUGCAGGGUGGCCUUGCUAUCUCUACUCUCGAUGAGGAAACUGAGACUCAGAGAGGCCAUGUAACGGAUCAGAGUCACGCAGAUGGCCGUUGUCAAAGCCAUGAUUCUAAUCCAGGUCUUGCUGCUGCAGGAAUCCAUGUUCUUUUGACUAUCUCACUAGCGUGAACACUAUAGACUCAAAAAUCGCGAUCACUGUUCUGGAUCAAAGUCUUCUUCUUCAGAUAGACAGGGGCAGGUUGGCAAGAAAGGCACUCGUGCAGGAAGGACAGCUCUGGUCAAGAGCAGAGGAGGGGGAUGCUGUAAAGGCAUGUCUGGGCCAGCCUGGAAAUAGCUUCGCGGGCCUGGACAAGGCAAGUCAGCAUGGGGCAUCAAAGGAUUUCCAGAGCGAGCAGGGAAUGAUGUCUGUCAUCAGUUUUACAUUUUAGCAGAAACAUUCUGGAAAUGACUUUAAGACUAGUUUAGAAAGAAAGAAAGAGAGGGGCGCCUGAGCAGGGUAGUCAGUUGAGCGUCCGACUUCAGCUCAGGUCGUGAUCUUGUGGUCUGUGGGUUUGAGCCCCGCAUCAGGCUGUGUGCUGACAGCGCGGAGCCUGGAGCCUGCUUCUGUUUCUGUGUGUGUGCCUCUCUCUGCCCUUCCCCCGCUCACACCUUCUCUCUCUCUCUCUCUCUCUCUCUCUCUCUCUCUCUCUCUCUCCCUCUCUCCCUCUCUCCCUCUCUCCCUCUCAAAAAUAAACAUUUAAAACAAAAGAAAAAAGAAAAGAGAAAAAAAAGAAAAGAAAAAACAUAAGCAGUACGAAGAUCAUUGAGGAAGCUAUUCUACAAGCACAAAGAGAGGAGAUUCAGCCUGAACUAGGACAGUGACAGAAGGAAGGGAUAAAAAAAGGAUGCAGAACUUGGCACACAAUUAAAUUGGGUAAAUGGAUAAGGAUGAGGUUAUAUCGACCCCAAAGCAACUGUGAUUUGUCUUUAUCUUGCUAGCCCGCAGAGUAUGCCUCUAGGGUACAUGUCUUGCAAAGCCCACCUCCUCAUAGGAGAAAGUCACUCACUGCUCUGGAUUGUACCAGACCCAAAACAUGCAAAGCUAGAAUGUCUGGAUCCUACUGAAUUAUUUCUGUGUCUUCUCUACUUUUUUUUUUUUUUAAUUUUUUUUUCAACGUUUAUUUAUUUUUGGGACAGAGAGAGACAGAGCAUGAACGGGGGAGGGGCAGAGAGAGAGGGAGACACAGAAUCGGAAACAGGCUCCAGGCUCUGAGCCAUCAGCCCGGAGCCCGGCGCGGGGCUCGAACUCACGCACCGCGAGAUCGCGACCUGGCUGAAGUCAGACGCUCAACCGACUGCGCCACCCAGGCGCCCCGUCUUCUCUACUUUUAAGAAGAGAGGGUCCAUAGUACAGGAUUUCCUGUCCUUGAAUGUCUGUGUCUUCGAAGAGACUCCAGGUAGGAAAGAAAAGGAGCUAAGCCGCUGCGGGGUAUAGAAAACCGGAAGACACGCUUGGAGUGUCCAAAUGCGUAUCUCAGCCCACAACCUGGGGAAGUAAUGACAUGGUCUAGGUUAGUGGGAGCUCAGAUCUCUGUCCUCAGCUUCUGGCUCCACAUCCAUGAGCCAAAUGUAGCCCAAAUUCAGUAUUUCCGAAUUUCUCAGCACCCAGGUCCGAGCAACCUCCGUCUGUCACCUGAAUUCUUACGGUCACCUCCUAAUUGGUCUUCCCACAUCCACCAUGGCUCCCACGCCCCGACCAGUCUCAACACCAAACGCCCAAACCUCUUAAAACCUAUCAGACCGUCUCACCCUUCUGCCCCAAACUACCCAAUGGCUCCAUGGCCAAAGUCCCUCCAAUGGCCGUAAGGCCCCGCAUGUCCCGGCAGCUCGCAGUCACUGACCUCAUCUCCUCUGGUUCCUUCAUCCCCCUUGGGUCCAGCCUCAUUGGCUUCCUCGCUCCACAGAUCAUGCCUAACACAUGCCUUCGCACUGUUUUCUUUCUCUGCCUAGCACGCUCUUCCCCCAGAUACCCGUGAGCCCCACUUCCCUCAUUUCCCUGAGUUUUGUCCGAACGUAGCCUCUUGGGGCGCCUGGGUGGCUAAGUCGGUUGAGCAUCCAGCUCUUGAUUUGGGCUCAGGUCAUGAUCUCACGGUUCGUGGGUUUGAGCCCCAAGUCGGGCUCUGUGCUGACAUAACAAAGCCUGCUUGGGAUUCUCUCUCUCCCUGUCCCUCUCCCGCUAGCACUCUCUCUCUCUCGAAAUAAAUAAAUAGAACCUAAAAUGUGUGUGUGUGUGUGUGUGUGUGUGAAAUGUAGCCUCUGCAGUGAGUCAUAACCGGGGCCACCUUACAGAAAAUUGCAAACCUCCCCGCUACACUGCCUCGAGCACAGAUGCUUUCCCCAACACAGUUACACUGCUUUAUGUUGCUCCAAGUUAUUAUUACAAGUUAACAUACUGUUAUGGGUUGAAUUAUGCGCCCCCCCCCAAAGAUGCUGAAGUCCUAAUCCCCAGUAUAUGGGAUUGUGGAUGUAACUUUUUGGGGAAAAGGGUCUUCCCAGAUGAUUGAGUUAAGUUGGGGUCUUCAAAGUGGGCCCUACGCCAAUGGGGCCGGUGUCCUUAUUCAAAGGGGAAAUUAGGACACAGAGACACAGGCGUUCCCUGUGAGGAUGGAGGCAGAGGUUGGGAUGAUACUGCUACAAGCCAACCGAGCACCAGAAGCUAGGGAAGAGCCUAGAACAGAUUCUUCCUCACGGCCCUGAGCAGGAGCCAGCCCAACUAACACCUUGAUCUUGAACUUCUAGCCUCCAGAACUGGGAGACAAAAGAUUUCUGUUGUCUCCGUCACCCAGUUUGUGGUAUUUUGUUAGGGCAGACCUAACAAGCUGCCUAUCCUUUGUGUUUAUGAUUUGGUCUUCACCCCCAAAGGUAAGCUUCCCAGGGGCAGGGAUUUGUUGAUUUAUCUUUGCUAUCCCGUCUCCAGCAGUACACGAAUCAAUAACCCUGCCCCAGACCACACUUCUAGCCUUUUCUCCCACCUCUCUCUGAGACAAAAUCCUUUCGACCUUUGCCCCAAAUACCAGGGACUUUGAUACCUUCUUAACUCUGCUUAUGCGGUUUCCUCUACCCGGGAUGCCCAUCCACCCCUUCUCUGCCCCUUAACAUCACCUUAUCAGUUAAGACUCAUCCGUGUCAUUCCUUCAGUGACGAGUUUCCUCUGCUCCCCUCUUCUGCUUUAUUAUUCAUGUGGCUGUGCCUCUCUGCCUGUAAACCGUGACCCCUUUGAGUUCUGGAAUCCUAUCCUAUUAAUCUUCCUAUCCCCGGAACCUGGCCCAGUGACUGGCACACCAGAGGUGCUUAGUAAACGUUUGCUGGAUUGAAUUAAAUCUGUAUCCCGCAGCUUUUGCCCUUGCUGCCUUUCCCUCGACUGCUAGCCACAGCAGGGUACAAGAGGAUUAGACAGGACUUUGCAGAGCAGAACUCAGAUUAGAGCGUCGGAGCGCUACGGGGCUGCGCCUCUCGGCAGACCCUUUGUCUCGGUGCAAUCUCGUGAGAGCUUCUUAAAUUGGAACAGUCGGCGACGUUGUACCCAAACCACUCAGCUAAGCCCUAGGAGACGUUGGCCAGAAUUCACAGCAACACAAACAGCUCAAUCAAAGGAGAAGGUGUGCAAAUCCUCUUACUUUUUAUAAACUAGAGCAAGUAUCCUGUUGGGGGAAAAAGACAGUUCUUUGAGACGGCACUUCCCAGGAUGCUGGGCGAGAAGGUACUGGCUUUGAUUCCAGGUAAUGGUCUCAUGUCUGUUUUCCCUUCUGCCCAUAGAUCUUUCCAGUGGGCUGGUGUUGUAAAGGCCACAUGCGUCCACUCAUCUUUGCAGAGAGGAUGAAUUGGAACCAGCUCCAGAGGUGACGGGUAUGUUUGGUGUGGCCAGUGCUCAUUUAACCUAUUUGAAUACUCAAGGGAAUGUAAUCAGAAAAGGCGGGAAUAGACUCCAUCCCCCCAGAAACUCGAGCUGAAAGGAGCUAAAAUAUCAAACAUGCAUUCUAAGGAAUCACUAUUGCUUCUCAGAAGGUUCUCUGCCCCUCUGUUUUUUCUAAAAGGCAUCCCAGUCUUGCAGUCAUUACCACAACAGCGGAGUGAGCCCAGGGAACAGUAGGAAACUUCAGAUAGCAUUAUUUAAAUCCUCACUCCUUGUAGGUACCAUCUUGGUGAGGUUAGCUUCAAAUUCAUAAGAAUAAGUGCUUUUGCCCAUCCUAAUUCUGUGCAUUUGACAUUUUCUUUUUUUUUUUUUUUUAUGUUUUCAUUUAUUUUUGAGAGAGAGAGAGACAGAGCGCGAGCAAGGGAGGGGCAGAGAGAAAGGGAGACACAGAAUCCAAAGCAGACUCCGGGCUCUGAGUGGUCAGCACAGAGCCUGAUGCGGGGCUCGAACUCACAAACCGUGAGCUCAUGACCUGAGCUGACGUGGGACGCUUCACCGACUGAGCCACCCAGGCGCCCUGACAGUAACACAUUUUCAAAUGUCCAGUUAAUUGUGUUCACGUGGGUCAUUCAGUCGUGGGCCCAAACUAAACACUUACACAGUACCAAGCACUGUGCUGGUCUCCAGUGCGUCAAAACGGGGGGCUUCUGUUUUUCAUGUUACACAUAAAGCUGAUGCAACAAUAACUUACUAGGCACCUACAUUGUUCCCAGCAAAAUGUAAUCAACUUUGUGAUUUUGACUAAAGAGUUGCACUCACAUUGUUAGUAAUUCAACUCAGCCCUGUCCUUGGUCCCCUCAAAGUCAUGGGAAGUAAUGUUUUGAUCGUUGUUUGUACCUUGAUCCUAUGAUACUUUGAGUUGUUAUUAUUAUUGUUGUUGUUGCUGGCAGUGGAAGGCCCUCAUCCAGUGAGACUAGUAGUUUUUAACAUUUUGGUGGUUACAUUCUCCUUUCAGAGCAGAGAAGGCCAGGUGCCCUCUCUCCAGAAAAAAUCCACAUGUUUCACACACUCAUAAUUUUAGAUGCAAAAAGUUAACAGACCCUCUAGAGCAGAGUCAGUAGACUUUUUCCGUAAAGGCCAGAUAGUAAAUAUUUUAGACUUUAUGGACCGAGAGGCAAAGAAUGGAUAUUAUGCAGUGGAGACAUUUGUCCCUCCCCCCAAACCCAUGGGACAUACGUUCCAAGACCCCCAGUGGGUGCCUGAAACCACAGAUAGUACUGAACGUUAUUAUACUGUUUUUUCCUAUACUUACAUACCUAUGAUGGAGUUUAAUUUAUAAAUGAAGCACAGGUUCUAGAACAAUCGUAACAAUAUACUGUAAUUAAAGUUAGGUGAAUGUGGUCUCUCCCGCGCGCUCUUAAAAUAUCUUACUGUGCUGUACUCACCCUUUUUGUGAUGUCACAAAAUGAGAAAAUGCCUACGCGAUGAGAGGAAGUGAGGUGGGCGACGUAAGCAUCGUGACGCAGCGUUAGGCUGCUCUUGACCUCCUGACCUUCUGACUGUAUCUCAGAAGGAGCGUCAUCUGCUUCCUGACCACCGUUGACUGCAGGCAACCGAAGCUGUGGGAAAGCAAAACCGCAGCAAUUUUUAAUUGAUAAAAUCCAAACUAUAGCAAUUGAGUAUAGGUUUUCGUAAUGAAAAUAUAUCACUUAAUCACGGCUCCAAGUUAGUAUCCCUUAUCAUCAAAUCAGUUGACAAUGUUCAUCUGUAAAAGCCAUCCUUAGCUUGAGGAUGGUAAAACCCAGGCAGUGGCCUGGAUUUGGCCGGUGGGCCUUAGUUUGCUAAUCGCUGCUAUGAGUUCCACCCAGAGGAAAAGACCCAGGUCCAGACUGUUUUCAGGAAGCCCUGCUGAGAGUAGUUACAGGCACGGCCAGGAUCAGCAAUGCUGUUCGUGGCCCUCCAUCUUGGUGGCAGGGGACAAGCUCACACAGUGGCCUUCCCUGGAGCCGGCAAGGAUUCCUGGCACAGCACUCCCGCGCACGGAAGGGCUGGCUGGCAGCUGAAUUAGGGUCCCAUUUCUACUGCACGGAGUUGCAACCAAGAACGCAUGGUGUAGUAAAUUCUAUUAACCUACAUUCUGUGACCUCAAUAAAACUUUCUCAAUAAUCAGCAAGAAUAACAAUGCACAUGAAAAGAAAUUCCUUUGCCCAGUGUUUGCAAGUUGAAAUGUAAAAAGCACAUCAGUGGAUAAGGCUUUUUAACGAAUAAAAUCAUUUCCUUAAUCGGCAGUUAACUUUCAAUCAAUACUCACUCCCAGAAACCCCAAAAAACACCACCUCGCCAAUUUAAAAGAGCUUAGAAUAAACCAUAAUAAACUAAUCAAGAGGCAGGGUUCAACAAAAAAUGAUUAUGCAGAAAUUUUAGCCUUGAACUCACAUAGUUCAUCUGUGUCUCCUAAAAACAUGCCAUGGUAGCAGUCAAUCACAAGAGAAAUGUAAUUCUAUGUAAUGUUUUCGGGCCUAUAAUGUCUGGAAAGCUUAGGCCACUAGGAAGAGGCACAGACGCUUUUCAUUGUUGGUUAGAACCCAUUGCUUCGUUUCAAUAAUGGUUAAAUAAAUAAAUAAGUAGAUAAAUGCAGCUCCCUUGACUGGCUGGCCGAGCGGCACAAUCUGAGCGUCAAACUUGACACAAGUUCUCCACCUAGUGGAUGUUUCAAAAGAUGUGCAAUAAAAUAAAAACUGCGCGGGCUUGUGGAGGUUCCUCACAAAAUUCAAAAUAGAUCUACCCUAUGACCCAGCAAUAGCACUGCUAGGAAUUUACCCAAGGGAUACAGGAGUGCUGAUGCAUAGGGGCACUUGUAUCCCAAUGUUUAUAGCAGCACUUUCAACAAUAGCCAAAUUAUGGAAAAAGCCUAAAUGUCCAUCAGUUGACAAAUGGAUAAAGAAGAUGUGGUUUAUAUAUACAAUGGAAUACUACUUGGCAAUGAGAAAGAAUGAAAUAUGGAGUUUUGUAGAAACAUGGAUGGAACUGGAGGGUAUUGUGCUGAGUGAAAUCAGUCAGGAAGAGAAGGACAGAUAUCAUGUUUUCAUUCAUAUGUGGAUCUUGAGAAACUUAGAAGACCUUGGGGGAGGGGAAGGGGAAAAAACAGUUACAAACAGAAAGGCAGGGAGGCAAGCCAUAAGAGACUCUUAAAUACUGAGAACAAACCGAGGGUGGAAGGGGGGGGGGGGUGGGGGAGAGGGGAAAGUGGGUGAUGGGCAUUGAGGAGGGCACCUGUUGGGAUGAGCACUGGGUGUUGUACGUAAGCGACGAACCUCGGGAAUCUACCCCGAAAACAAAGAGCACGCUUUACACACUGUAUGUUAGCCAAUUUGACAAUAAAUUGGAAUACAGACAAAAAAAAGAAUAGACACAGAGACAGAGAUGCACACAGGGAAGUGGAAAGCAUUCUGCGUGGCCAUCGGUGACGACAUAUGAGAUGUUCAUCUUUCUUCACUUACAUUUUUCCUCUUUCUUCUGUAUCUCUUCCUACCUUAGGCCAGGUUCCCCAGGAAUGACUCAGAGAUAGACACUUGCAAGCGGGACAUUAAUUGGGGAUUACUCGCAGGAAAAGCCCCCGUGAGGGAAUGCAGGGAGCAGCCCCGGGCAGUGGGGGCGGUUGGACUGGGACCCAGGCGCCUGCCCCACGUGGCCGUUGGAGGGGUGGUCCCACACCAGGGCUCAGCACUGCUCUUGGUUGGACACUUGAGGCACCACUGCCCCGGUGAGUGGGAGCCACAGUGCCGGACCCACUCCUUGCCCCCAAUCCUGCCACCCUCGCUACUUCAUCUGCGGGUCCGUGUGGCCAGCGCUGGGUGGCCAAUGAUGAAGCUGGUUGACUCCAGCUUAAGUGAGCCAUUCCCUGCUUAUUUAACGCCUCAUGUAUGGUGGAUGCUCCCUGGUGGCCUUUCAUGUGCGAAACAGCCUGGGGCGCCUGGGUGGCUAGGUCAGUGGGUCAAGCAUCCAGUUUUUGAUUUCGGCUGAGCUCAUGAUCUUAACGGUUUGUGAGUUUGAGCCCCACGUUGGGCUCUGCACUGGCGGGGCAGAGCCUCCUUGGAUUCUCUCUCUCUCUCUCUCUCUCUCUCUCUCUCCUUUUCUCUCUGCCCCUCCCCCUCCUCAAAAUAAAUAAACAUUUUUUUUUUUUAGAAAAAGGAAACAAAGCCCUUCACACCUGGUGUCCAUCCACCUGCUUCUGCCCCAGACCCGCUUGUCCCUUGGUGGCCCACAGGCUUUCUCUUUGCGGACCUCUGACCGAGCAGCCAAGCCAUCUGCCACUGUUGAUGAGUCCACGUGCCUCCAGCCAUUCUCCUUACACACGAAGUGGACGAUUAGAUGUGUCAUCCAACUCGCUGCCCCUUGGGUUUCCCCCUCACCUCUGUCUUCAGGGCCAGCCCGAGGGGCUGUAGUGCGGCUACUGUUAAGUCUUAGCUUGUAUCUUUCCCACUCCGACCCAUCUGUAAAUUUGGCUUGGCUUUUCUCCACCUCCAUCACCCUGCUCAUAACGGACCCCUGCCCCCACCGUGCAGCCAUAGGUACGGAUGAGGGGAAGGACGAAAUGGGAGUCAGAAGCCCCACCUUUUGUACCUCAAACUGGAAAUCCCACCUUUUCUACCUCAAUGCGGGGUGAUAAAAUGAAGGACACAGGGGCGCCUGGGUGGCGCAGUCGGUUAGGCGUCCGACUUCAGCCAGGUCACGAUCUCGCGGUCCGUGAGUUCGAGCCCCGCGUCAGGCUCUGGGCUGAUGGCUCGGAGCCUGGAGCCUGUUUCCGAUUCUGUGUCUCCCUCUCUCUCUGCCCCUCCCCCGUUCAUGCUCUGUCUCUCUCUGUCCCAAAAAUAAAUAAACGUUGAAAAAAAAAAAUUAAAAAAAAAAAAAAAAAAAAAAAAAAAUGAAGGACACGGAGAAUCAGAAGAACAGGAGAGUAUUAAGAAUGGGUUGAAAGGGAGAAGUAACAGGGUGCCUGGGUGGCUCGGUCGGUCAAGCAUCUGACUCUUAAUUUCAGCUCACGAUCUCACGGUUUCGUGGGAUCGAGCCGCACAUCAGGCUCUGUGCUGUGCGGAGCCUGCUUGGGAUUCUCUGUCCCCCUCUCUCUGCCCUUCCUCCCACUCGGACUCUCUCUCUCUCUCCAAGUAAAUAAAUAAACUUUUAAAAGAUCAAAAAAAGACACAAGGAAGAAGUAACUGCACUAAAGGUUACAUCUGGGAUGUAGAAGAACAAGUGGAGAAUCGAAAACUUCCUUCGCUUGCCUCCCACGCUUCGUGCUGACUCUCCAGCUCUCUCUACUCCUUCCCAGAUUCCUUUGGCUCCUCGUUGGAGUUGGCGUCACCCAGAGCCCGGUGCCAGGACCACUCCUCUUUCCUUGUCACCCUUGAUGUCCCCCGGUGUCAUGGCUUCAAGUGUCUUCUGUGUUCCAAGUACCAGAUUUAAAUGUCCAGCCCAGACCUCCUCCUGCCCACUUGUACACUUCGCUGCUCAUUCGCCACCUGACUCCGCCUGGCUAAAGGGCCUCUCAGGUUCAGCCGCUGGACUGCCACACUAGGUUGCCUACAGCCAAGUUCCUGACACCCACCCCCCCACCCGGGCUUCUCCCAUCUCUGUAAACAUCAGCUUUGGUUUUUCAAGUUGCUCCGGCCGAAAACUUGGAGGGGUCCUUGACUCCUCUUUUCCUUCCCCCCACUCCCCGGAUCCAGAUGCAAAUCCUGUCAGUUAUAUUCUUAGAACACGUCCAGAAUCCAACCUCUUUCACCACUCCUGCAGCCACCCCUGCGGUUCAGGCCACCAUUGGCCCCUGUCUUCCUGUCAUGUCUGAACGGAUCUGGUGUCUGCCUUUGCUCCUGCCAUUUAUUCUCCACACGCAGCCAACACCAGGCUGUUGAACAGAAGCUGAGCUGUGUGGUUUUCCUGCUUUAAGCCCUCCAUCCAUCAGCUCCCCCACAUACUCAGAGGACGAGCCAAAGUCGUCACCUGGACCCAUGAUGCUCUGCACAACCUGGCCUCUCCCCUCCUCAAACAACACAGGCAAGGCCGUCCCACUCAUCCUUCCCACUUCCCGGAGUGCUCCUUCCCAGAAGUCUGCACAGGUCCCUCCCUUACCUCUUCCAGGUCUUUAUUCAAUUUAUUGAGUUAUUUAUUUUUAAAGUAGGCUUCAUACCUAGCACAGAGCCCAGUGUGGGGCUUGAACUCACAAACCCAAGAUCAAGACCUGAGCUGAGAUCGAGUUGCUCAACUGAGCCACCCAGGCGCCCCCAGUUCUUUAUUCAAAUGCCACCUUUUCAGAAACGUCUCCCCUGUACCUUCUGAUUUAAAAUGGGUAAAAACAACUCUACUUGGGAUGCCUGGGUGGCUCAGUUGAUUAAGCUUCCAACUUCGGCUCAGGUCAUGAUCUCACAGUUCAUGAGUUCGAGCCCCACAUCGGGCUCUGUGCUGACAGCUCGGAGCCUGGAGCCUGGAGCCUGCUUUGGAUUCUGUGUCUCCCUCUCUCUACCCCUCCCCAGCUUGCACUCUGUGUCUCUGUCUUUCUCAAAACUAAACAUAAAAAAAAAUUUUUAAAACUCUACUUGUUCUCCCCUUUAGAGGGUUCAGUGGUGGCCCCCGAAAAGAUACACAUACAUCCUAACCUCCAGAAUCUAUGAUUGUGCCCUUAUUUGGCAGAGGGUCUUUGCAGAUGUAAUCAAAUUAUAGAUCUUGAAAUGAGAUCAUCUUGGAUUACCUGGGUGGACUCUAAACCCAAUGACAAGUUUCCUUGUAAGAGAAGACACAGACUCCCAGAAGAGGGGAGGUGUGAAGACAGAUGACUACACAACAUAAAACGCACUGAUCAUGUUUAUUGACUUUCUACCCUACUACUCUAUGAGCUACAAGAAGGCAGAGAUUUUUAUCAGUUUUGUUCACUGCUGUGUUACCAGAGUCGAAGACAGUGCCUGGUUCCAGUGCCUACUUUGGGGUUAGAGUUCAAUGAAUAUGUGUUAAUUAGGUAAGCCGAGAGAGGAAUAAAUGAAUGAGUAAUGUCAUCCCUGAUAUUGUGCCUGAGUGAACAGAAGAAUGAUGGCUCCAUUGAUCAAAACAGGAGAGAAGGAGAAAUCAUAAUUAGAACGGAGAUGGGGGUAGCUAGACAUGUGCGAUGUAGGGCAUGUUCGGUUCGAUAGGACGUAACUACAAGUAGAAAUGUACACACAGCCACAGCUUACGAUGGCUCAACUUAGGAGUUCUUGACUUUGCAGUGGUGUAAAAGCGAAAUGCAUGAAGUCAAAACCAUGCUUGGAAUUUCGAAUUUGGAAUAUUUCCCAGGCUAGCGAUACGCGGGACGAUUUUCUCUCGUGAUGCCGGGCAGGGGGCCGUGGCUGUAGCUCCGGGUCACCAAGCGGUCGCAGGGGUCAACCAGAGACACACCUACGGCCAUUCUGCACUCGCACAGCCAUUCUGGUUUUCACUUUCAGUACAGUGUUCAACACAUCAUGUAAGAUAGUCAACACUUUAUUGUAAAAUGGGCUUUGUGUUGGGUGAUUUUGCCCAGCUACAGGCUAAUGUAAGUGUUCUGAGCACGCUUGAGGUCACCUAGGCUAAGCUAUGAUGUUCAAGAACUCAGGUGUAUUAAAAGCAUUUUCAACUUCAUGACAUUUUCUACGUGCAGUGGACUUUUGGGCACAUAACCCCCAUUGUGAACGGAAGAAGAUCUGUGUACAUUUUCACUAAUUUCGGAUUUACUUAUCCAGCCAAUUCCAAAAGAAUUUUGGAAGACUUACUCUAUUUAAUAACACAUAAUAAGACAAAAACAGAAGAAAACUGACAGGCUUUGGGGACGUAGGACUGAUGUUUGGUUGAAAUGCCCGUGUGGAGAUACAUAGAUUAGUGAUCAGAUUUCAAAGAUGAGACUUCAAAAUCCUAUUUUAGCUAGCCUCUCUUGCACCAGAUGUUUUAUUGCAUAAAUUCCAAAUUGAUUUAUUGACCGACUGAUGGACCGAUUUUACCUCUCAUCUUUUCCCUUUUCUGUAUACUGAGGCAAUAUUCGUGGUCAGGAAAGCAGGCGAGAUUCAAAUUACAUCAAGGGUAAGGGAAGAGCAAUAGCUCUAGAAAGUUUCAGAGAUUCACAGUAGAAGCUGAAUCCGUCAGCUAGCCUCAGACCUCGUGCACCCCUUAAAGAACUGACCUCCCCCGAACGCCCCCUGCAGGAGGCCCGCGGAGGAACCAGUGCGCACCUUGGGGCACAUGGGGGUGCUAUUCCAACCGUGGCCGGCUUUUAUUCCCCACCCUCUUCCGCUCCCCAUUUAAUGAGGCACUUCCACUAGUGAAGGUGUUUUCCAAAUAAUUUUUUGCCCUGCCCCUCUUGCUUGUUGGAAGGAAGGAAGGAAGGAAGGAAAAGAAAGAAAGAAAGAAAGAAAGAAAGAAAGAAAGAAAGAAAGAAAGAAAGAAAGAAAGAAAGAAAGAAAGAAAGAAAGAAAGAAAGAAAGAAAGAAAAGGAAGGAGAAAGAAAGAAAAAGAAAAGAAAUGGAAAGAAAAGAAAGAAAGAAAAGAGGCAGGAGAAGAAAGGGAAAGAGAAAGAAAAAGAAAGAAAGGGAAAGAAAGAAAGAAAGAAAGAAAGAAAGAAAGAAAGAGAAAACGAAAAAGCUCCUCACACUAGUUCACAUUAUAAAUGGAAUAGAGGGGCGCCUGGGUGGCUCAGUCGGUUAAGCGCCCGACUUCAGCUCAGGUCACGAUCUCGCGGUCCGUGGGUUCCAGCCCCACGUUGGGCUCUGGGCUAAUGGCUCAGAGCCUGGAGCCUGUUUCCGAUUCUGUGUCUCCCUCUCUCUCUGCCCCUCCCCCGUUCAUGCUCUGUCUCUCCCUGUCUCAAAAAUAAAUAAACGUUAAAAAAAAAAAAAUUUUUUUAAAUUAAAAGAAAAAAUAAAUGGGAUAGAUGUCUCCUCUCUACAAUUGCCUUUAAAAUUUUUAGGACAUUUCUUUUCUAUGUCUAUUUAUGUUUGAGAGAAAGAGAGAGAGACUCACAGAGUAUGAGUUGGGGAGGGUCAGAGAGAAAAGGAGACACAGAAUCUGAAGCAGGCUCCCGAGCCGAAGUCGGACCCUCAACUGACUGAGCUACCCAGGGGCCCCAGGACAUCUUUCAAAUGCUAGAAUGUCAGUGAGAAAGAUACAUAUAAGAGUCAGAUUUCUUUUUUUUUUUUUUUUUUUAAGUUUAUCUUGAGAGAGAGAGUACGCAAGCAGGGGGAGGGCGGAAAGAGCAGGGGAGAGGGAGAGAGAAUCCCAAGCAGGCUCCCCAUGGGGAGGGAGCCAGCAGGGAGCCCCCCGGGGGCUUGAACUCAUGAACCGGGAGAUCAGGAUGUGAGCCAAAACCAAGAGUUAAAGGCUCAACCGACUGAGCCCCCCAGGAGCCCCAGAUUUCUUUUAUUUUGCAAGGUUUGCAGAGCCACGGUGAUAGUCUCGCAGAGGCCGAAGGGCUCAACUUGUUAAGUGUUUCAUCCUUAACUCGUUUACAGAGGUGUGUCACGUAGGAGGCAUUGGCCACGCACCUUGGCCUGUUCACACCAACCUCGCCUCGGCCAGCAGGAGGCAGGCUGAGCGCCCACCGCGCUCCAUGUCAUUGUGCAGUUUCCAGCUAAGCCCCAGUGCGUUUUUGAAAACGCGAGUGUCGAAAAAAUGCUCAUAAAAUAUGAGAAAAUAUUAGCUUCCUGGAUGGAAUCUGCAUUUAAUGGACCUUGAGGGAUGAAAUGAAAUACAUACAUAUAUCCUUACGCUUACCAGUUUAUUCAGGGAUCUGAAUCAGCAGCCAGAUGAAGACACAUGGGGUGAGGUUCUGAACGAAGGAGCUUCAGUCCUGGCAGAAGUUGGGGCUUGGAUCGGAGGUGGCACACGGAGCAGUCUUGUUCCUCAAGCAUAGAAGCUCUCCAAAAUAAUAAUAAUAAUAAUGAGAUGGAGUAUAUUUUCUUGCAAUAUUCGGUGCAUAUUUUAUAUCUCAAUACCUUGACAUGUUAGGGGGGCUUCCUCUCUUUCCUUUUUUUAACUUUUGAGUUCAUUUUAAUUCCAAAGUUAAAAAACAAACUGGAAAAGCUGAAUUCUUCUAAAAUGCUGUAUUUUUCACUACGAGUGCUAGAUGGCAGGUGCACACUUCACAUGGCUUUAGGCUGCUUUGCUGGGAUUAGCCUCUCCUUGAUGACAAGAAUGUUUUGAUUAUUUAAAUGAAACUCUAGGGCCGAGUGUGGAAGAAAAGUGACAUUUGAUGUCACAAACUGUUUAUAGCUAAAAUCCCUGACUGGCAGGAAGACAGGAAUCCCCCUGCUGUCCUCCAGAAGAGACUUCGUGGGCUGGGACACUGCUAGGUCUUGUUUAAGGUCUUGCUCCCUAACUGCAACACUGAAUCUGACUAACGAAUACACACUAGCCGCCCCGAGAGAUCGUGAACUGANUUGGGGAGGGUCAGAGAGAAAAGGAGACACAGAAUCUGAAGCAGGCUCCCGAGCCGAAGUCGGACCCUCAACUGACUGAGCUACCCAGGGGCCCCAGGACAUCUUUCAAAUGCUAGAAUGUCAGUGAGAAAGAUACAUAUAAGAGUCAGAUUUCUUUUUUUUUUUUUUUUUUUAAGUUUAUCUUGAGAGAGAGAGUACGCAAGCAGGGGGAGGGCGGAAAGAGCAGGGGAGAGGGAGAGAGAAUCCCAAGCAGGCUCCCCAUGGGGAGGGAGCCAGCAGGGAGCCCCCCGGGGGCUUGAACUCAUGAACCGGGAGAUCAGGAUGUGAGCCAAAACCAAGAGUUAAAGGCUCAACCGACUGAGCCCCCCAGGAGCCCCAGAUUUCUUUUAUUUUGCAAGGUUUGCAGAGCCACGGUGAUAGUCUCGCAGAGGCCGAAGGGCUCAACUUGUUAAGUGUUUCAUCCUUAACUCGUUUACAGAGGUGUGUCACGUAGGAGGCAUUGGCCACGCACCUUGGCCUGUUCACACCAACCUCGCCUCGGCCAGCAGGAGGCAGGCUGAGCGCCCACCGCGCUCCAUGUCAUUGUGCAGUUUCCAGCUAAGCCCCAGUGCGUUUUUGAAAACGCGAGUGUCGAAAAAAUGCUCAUAAAAUAUGAGAAAAUAUUAGCUUCCUGGAUGGAAUCUGCAUUUAAUGGACCUUGAGGGAUGAAAUGAAAUACAUACAUAUAUCCUUACGCUUACCAGUUUAUUCAGGGAUCUGAAUCAGCAGCCAGAUGAAGACACAUGGGGUGAGGUUCUGAACGAAGGAGCUUCAGUCCUGGCAGAAGUUGGGGCUUGGAUCGGAGGUGGCACACGGAGCAGUCUUGUUCCUCAAGCAUAGAAGCUCUCCAAAAUAAUAAUAAUAAUAAUGAGAUGGAGUAUAUUUUCUUGCAAUAUUCGGUGCAUAUUUUAUAUCUCAAUACCUUGACAUGUUAGGGGGGCUUCCUCUCUUUCCUUUUUUUAACUUUUGAGUUCAUUUUAAUUCCAAAGUUAAAAAACAAACUGGAAAAGCUGAAUUCUUCUAAAAUGCUGUAUUUUUCACUACGAGUGCUAGAUGGCAGGUGCACACUUCACAUGGCUUUAGGCUGCUUUGCUGGGAUUAGCCUCUCCUUGAUGACAAGAAUGUUUUGAUUAUUUAAAUGAAACUCUAGGGCCGAGUGUGGAAGAAAAGUGACAUUUGAUGUCACAAACUGUUUAUAGCUAAAAUCCCUGACUGGCAGGAAGACAGGAAUCCCCCUGCUGUCCUCCAGAAGAGACUUCGUGGGCUGGGACACUGCUAGGUCUUGUUUAAGGUCUUGCUCCCUAACUGCAACACUGAAUCUGACUAACGAAUACACACUAGCCGCCCCGAGAGAUCGUGAACUGAUCCGUGAACAGGGCAAUCCCUGGUGUCUCCCUUUCAUUCUGGUUGAGUUGUGGGUUUCGAGUAUGGAUGUAGACUCACCUGGAAUCGAUUUCCAGGGGACAGUCGCUCACCAAACCUUACAUCUGUGCCACCAGACAAGCUUUUAACUUCUCUAAACCCCUGUUUCUUCGUUCGUAAAAGGUGGAUGAUAUUGGCGGGGUUUUGUCAGAAUUCAGAGAAUGAUGUUAAGAUCUCAGCACAGAGCUGACACAGAAAGUGCUCAAUAAAUGGCAGUUAGUGUCAUUUCAUUGCAGAAGUUGAGGCUAAUUAGUUCCGGAGUCACAACAUCUCAGAUUAGAAGGGGCCUUCAAGUCCAGUCCAACUGUGACUCUCCAGCCCCUGGCCAAGCAGUCUUGUCUACGCAGGACCUCUUCCAAGAUACUCGGCAUUUGACAUCAAAAGCCUUCCGUUAAGGUUAUGGCCAAUAAAGGGGAGGAGAAGGGAAAGUCAUAUAGAGGCCCGCCUGCUAAGAAGUCUUGUAAGAAAAUAUCUGAUUUUUCUUGCAGGCUUGGUUUUCUGAGCACAAGAGCAAGUCAUCCUACCGGAACAGAACGGA